This 49465-nucleotide long non-coding RNA is filed under the name Solanum lycopersicum (tomato). Its description in RNAcentral is "long non-coding RNA (SLYC_LNC000170)". Lineage: Eukaryota; Viridiplantae; Streptophyta; Magnoliopsida; Solanales; Solanaceae. The record is from RNAcentral.
UUCUUUUAACUUGUAUGAUGCCAUCUCAACCCUAUCAUUCCUAGUGACCUACAUCACCUCAAAUAUAUUCGUGAUCUCAUCUAAGAAAUUCUGGUGAUCCUCACUAGUCUGUGAUCCUAAGAACUCAGGAAGAUUCAUUCAAACAAAGUCACAUACCCUGGAUGCUAUUGAGCUACCAUUCCCAUUCACAUGAGGUUGAACCCACUGAUUGUUCUGGUUGGCGACACUCUAAGCCAACAUCUAAAUGGCAUUCCUGAAUUUAACAUUGGAGACUUCCUGAUCUGGGACUGGAGGAGUUGCGUUUGCAUUCCCGGCAUUCACAUACCUAGGGUUAGCACUACAAGGAGGCAUGAUCUAAAACAUAGAAUGUAGAUUUAGAAUGGAAUUAGAUCAUGCCUUACGAAUGAUAAGAGUGACAAGAAAAUGAAUUUUUUCCUAAAACACUUCAUAUACUCCAUUUCAUUAAAUGUGGUUGUCAUAUCUAGGAAUACCCCCUAGACGUAACCGUCGUCGUCGUUCUCUUUGAGGACUAAGACUAGCCUCUUAGCUUACAUCAUUACAUUCAUAGGGAAAAAUUAGUGGACAUUUAAACCUUCUUACUACUUUUACAUUGAGGUUUACAUAGACCUCUACAUACACAUAGUAUAGUUAUAUCGAGUAUACAUAUACCCUUCGUAUAGGAAGAUUACUUAGUUUUAUAUUUUUAUUGCACAUAGAUAUAUAGAAUAUAACAUAGUCUCAAUAGUCGUCUCAUUUUUUAACCAUCUAACACGAGUAUAACAACUUGGGCCCAACCCAUAUAUUAAAGUAAUAAUUCCUCAUAUGGGCUAUGCAAUGCUUCGUACUAAAUGGAAAGGAAAGAAAAAUGAAAGUCUUAAACUUAAAACAACUCCAUUUGCUAGACAGUGGCAUCACCCUCGAAAAGUGAGGACCUACCCCAGUUAGAUUAUUAAGAGAUCCAAGUCUUCUUCAAGUCGUCUCCAAAAACCCUUUCAUGACCAAAACCUAAAAUGUUGGGGGAAAAUAAAAAAUGGGGUUAUUUCUCCAGUUGUACUAAGUAUGAGACCAUAUGCACAAAUAAUAUCGAAUCAUGCUUUAAAGGGACAUUUCAUUAAGUACGCAAUUCACUUUGAAAACCUUUUAUGGACAUACAAAGAGACCAUACCAAUCACUAAGACAUAUUCAUUAAGUCAUAGUCAUGUACAUCACAAGACCAACAACAUCAACUCAAGUCAACAUGCAUAUCAUAUAUUUGAAUACAUAGUCAAGUUACUCUAUCAUCAAGUCAUAAUAACCACAAACAUGAAUAAGAGUAAAUUUCAACAUAACCCAAUCAUACCAUUACUCAUGACCCUCUUGAAGUCCACUUGUGCAAUAACUAAGCAGAGCACCAUAACCUUACUUAAUCAAGUAAACCUAUCAAGAACCAUAACCAAUGUCCAACCUCACAUAAUCAUAACAUUAAGGUGCAUUAUAUCGUAGUUUAGCAAUAUAGACCAAGUACACGUUCAUAAGAGUAAUUAAAAUCAUAUUGUGCAUUAACAUGCAAUAUCAUCACAUACAUAUCAAUUAUUUUUAUAAGCAUAUACAUACGUAAGAACAACCUCCUAAGUCUUCCUUCAAGGCAAACUGGUGCAAGGCAUAGGUAGAGUCCCAUACCCCUACCUACGCUAUGUCAACCCCUCAAGUCACCCUAGUUAGUUUAUACUUCAUUAAUUCAUUUUAGUUUAGGGAACACUUGCCUCAACCGAUAUAGACCACAAGAGAUAAGUGUGGAAUCCGGUGUGUAAAACCUUACACCGAAGGAACGUGGUCUAUCAACAAAAGUAAAACCAAACAUAAACGUAGCUUUCUAGGUGGAUCCACUAGCUAGUCUUCCUAUGGGGGUUACAUAAUUCAAGAACUAAGAGAUAGGAACAAUCCCUCCACAUACAACUUGGCAAUUGGGGCCUCCUCUAAUAGGAAUCCAAUGGAUGAUUAUCCCUCAUGGGGAUUCAACAACACAUAUGGAACUAUAUAAUGAAUCUUUUUCUAAAGAAAGUCAUCACCUCCUACUGUCAAGUUUACUCGGUGCUAAGAUAAGUCCCCUUUUGAAAUGUAUUUAAUGUCUUUAUUAAUCAUCAUUAAUUAAUGUAGGUCAUAGGGUAUAACCCUUGUAUAAUCAUCAUCAUCAUCAUAGCUCGAUAAGAAUUGAAUGAAUAUAAUACUUUCAUUACAAUUCAUAUAAGUGAGCUUAAAAUAUUUACCUAUCACUUCAUAAUAAGUCACAUUGGUAAAUCAUUCACCAUCCUUAUAACAUUUACAUAUUAGACAACAACUCAUAAAUUAUAGUCAAGACAUUUCAAUUCAACAUCAUACCAACCCUACAAAUCCUAAUACAAGGCAUACUCCAAUACAAUAUCAUGACUUAAUCACAAUUUACCAUAAUUGAAGUAAAUAAUAGGGUUCACAAGACUUAACAAGUAUCCUUUAUAAUUCAUCAUCAAGGUCUUACCAUCAACCCUUCAAAUCAAGUCAUAUCAUUAUUUAUCAAUAUCUAACAUGAUAACAAAGUCAACUGAAUCACUAUAUCACAAUUCAUCACUAGUUCAUAGCUUAAGAUAAGGUACUUAGGUCAAUUCAAAACAUACUUCAUCACCUAGAUCAACUUUUCAUAGAAUGAUAGGGAAGUAACUCAUCCUAAUUUAGUCAUUAUUUAUACAAAGUCAUCUUAGGAUAUUAAUUCAACCAAUAACCAGUUCACUUGAAUCAACAUUACUCAAUUCAUAUCAAGAUCACAACCUAGGGUUAAGGGGAAUUGGUCAUUUUCUAUAAACUAGACCAAUUCAUCAAGACAUAAAAUAAUUGAGUUAAAAUUCAUGUUAAUCUAUCCAUAAUAUCCAAUAUAAAUCAUAAAAAUAGAAAUUCAAAACAUCGAUUUCGUAUUGGAAGAAAACCCACUUGAAAACCCAUCUUUUGAAAUCAAUUUGAUUGAACCCUCUUAGGAAAGAGGUCUCAAAGGUUAAAGAGAUCCCAUACCUUACUAAUUGAUGAAGGAAACACACCUAUAGCUUGGUCUUCAAUGGGGAUUUCUUUGGGAGAGAGAAAGAAGAGAGAAGGAAGAGAGUUUUGGGUUUGGGAAUUAUGAGAGUUUUGGUUAGGCUCAUUAGGUUAAGACAUUAUAUAGGAGGUUAACUAAAUUAAUUAGACCUUCACUAAACCUAUUUAAAUUCCUAACAAAGACAAGUAAUAAAAUGAAAUAAUUCAAAAAAACGUGCAGCAAAACAUAGGCCUCACAGACAAGACCACGAUCGACAGAUCGUUGGUCAAUCAACGAUCACUGCUCCCUCCAUGCUUCACAUCCGUCUCUAAUUUCAGAGAGUUGUAAAAAUUACCCUUUGGACAAAUUGACUAAGUGUUCAUCCACUGAGGCAAUUGACGCCCUAUCGAUUGGACCACGAGCCUUUUGUGGCAUCCGUUGGUGACACUAUUCGUUCACAACUUUUAGUCAUUUUUUCAAGGGUCCUCCUUAAGGGCCUUUGGUUGGUCCUUGGAGAGUCGUGCCCGGACGUUUCAACUAUGAACUAACCUAAUAUGUUUUAAACAACCUUCUACCAAUUUUCUUAAUUUUGCGACUCCUAAAAUCUAGUCAAAUAGGCUAAGGCACUCUAGCAUCUCAUUGACUAGUUUUCGGACGUCAUGAACAUUCUUGGAUGUUUUGAUUUCUAGACUUCCUAAAUGACUUAUAUUCAUUAAAAUAGACCUUAAAACAACGUCUAAACGUUAUUACACUUAUGUUAGGCUCUAGAAUACGUCUUCGAUUUUUGAAGUGUUAUAGUGGUGCAAUUCAUACCCAUAAAAAGGACUCUACUUAGUGCGGCUUUUCAGACAUCUUAGGAAACUUAAACCUAGUUCUAUGAUACCAAGUUUGUCACGCCCUGAGCUACCCCCGAGAUGUGGACACAGUACCUAGGACCACAAAUGAUCCCAAGCUAAACUUGUUGGCAUGAUCAUGAGCAUACUAAAGAUAAUAAACUGAUGCGGAAGAUGAAAUCAUAAUUUAAAAUGAAAAGAUGGGGAAAUACCCAUAUAUUAUAACUGAGAUAUUUGAAAACUGUGAGUUUAAUACAAAGAAAAUAUUAACUCAAUACUAAGCUGAAACUAACUAUAUCUGAAAUAAGCUUCUAAAUGACUGGAAAUGUUGGGUCAAGCCCGAGCUAAGUCUAGCAAAAAUUGAAACUAAAUGACUGAAAUGAACUCAUGACUAUUUUCCUCGGCAAAUGAUGACUCACCACUGAUUCUGCUGAAUUGGAGAUCAGGAAUUGAUCUAAGCAUGAUUUGGAUGCCAAAAACCUGAACCCACAUCACGAGAAAAUGUAGCGCACGUAUGCGUCAGUACUUGAAAGGUACUGAGCAUGUAAGAUAGAGUAAAGCUUAAAUAAAACAUAAGUGAUCAUGCACAAAAGCAAGUAAAAAAGUUUUGAACAUGAUAUACUACAUUCUGAGCUAACUGGAUGCAAUUAACAAAUUUAUAACAUGGUGACACUGAAUACUAACUGAACUGUAAAUAUGAUCAAUGCAAGAGAGUGUGACUGAAUUGUGGGAGCUAUUAAUGAUCGAUAAUAAAACCAUAUGACCUAAAUAUGGAGUCCGAUGUAUAUGCACCAUCGAGAGGACCCAAUAUAACCUUCCAAAGGUAUAAAGGCAUGAUGGAGUGAUCACUAAAUUGAUGCCCACAGAGGGGACUUACAACCUACGUGGCUUGUAGUUCUAGGAAUAUUGGUACGCUAAACCCUAGUCCAACUAGGUAUUAUGCUACUCCUAAUGAAUUAAAUGACUAACAUAUUAUGACUGAAUUUCUGUCUAAAUAACUCAAAACUGAACAUGCAAACUUAGAAUGCAACUAUUAGUAUAAUAAUGAUGCAUUAAUAUAUGAUUCAUGUAUAUCUUAAGUAACUGAAAUAUCUGAUCUAGAAUGUGUAAUUCAAGAACUAAAGAAAUACAUAGCUAGGGUUUUGGAAUUCAUGCGAUAAAUUGAAUAAUAACUUUACAAUCUGAUUUGGAACAUAUAUUUCACUUAUUCUAAUGACCAGCUAUAAAUCUAGAAACCCUAAGUUGAGUCGUGAUAAGAGAAUUAAGAACUGACUGAAAACUAGAGAUUUAAUGGGUGAAGGGAACCCACUAGUGAAAUCCCACACACAUGGUGAUGAAAUCCACGGAGAAAUAUUUAGAUUUCGGGGCUGGAAUUGAUGGAACCUUGCUGCGUUCUUGAACUAGGGUUCUUGACCUCUUCUUCUUUUUGCUUCUAAUUUUCUAUGUUUUGAUUUAUGAUUUUGACUUAGGUAAGUUCUUGUUACGUUUUUAGGAUUAAAUAGACAAAAAUCUGAUGAUUUAAGGCUUAAAUGACGUAUAUUAGGGUUUAAAUGAAUUAGGAAAAGACCAAAAGAGCCCUUAAAAUUUUGCUAUCAAACCAAACAACGACUUGGACUGAUGUGUUCUUUUUGCUAUCAUUUCAUUGGUCAUGGGACACCUAAUUCAUUUUGUUCCAAGUGUUAUGACCAUUUGAAGUUGACCAAGCAGAAUUUAUACCCUAAUUGACUACAAAGUUUCACCUACGGUCCGUAGAUCAAACAACGGUUCGUGAUGGUCAAUCGUGGUUCUUAUCAGAGGUUGGUGUAAAUGUGUUCUUGAUUGACGAACACAAACUACAGACUGUAGUUUGACUUACAGACCAUAGGUCUAUCCAUGGAUCAAUACUUAGCCAAUUUUAUAAACUGAGUUUUUGAUUGUUUCAGUGGAAAACAACGGAUGCGCAGUACGGGCCAUAGAUCAGAGUACGAUCCGUCGAUAGUGACCUUCGUUGCACCUGUAGAUUUUUGAAAAAUUGAUUUUUGGUCUAUUUUGGAUAUGGGGUGUUACACAUGUACUUCUUCUAAGCAACCUUUGUCAUAUGCUUGUUCCUCAUUGAUUAGACGACUCCAUGUGUCAUUAAUCAAAGUAGAAUCAGGAGUAGCAUUCAUGUAUGCCUUUCAAACUUUUUCCCAUCUUCAUAAGUAUGGUUUAUAUCUCAAAUAACGUAUAUGAUUCAAAAUAUUUUUCAAUUAACUGUAAAUCUUCCAAUUUAAAUCUCUUUCGUUAUAAUGAUGUUAUAUCUUAUGAUAAAAUUUCAUAGUUGCUCCUCCAAAGUUUAGAUGAAUCAAACACAUGACAAUGAAAUAUAUCGUCACAAACAGAUUUUUCAGCUCAUAUCCUGAUGCCUAACAUUCAUCUUCAAUCAAGCAGUUAUUCCAUUCUUUAUCAUCCUCCAAUAAUUUCAAUCUGUAGCAUGCCUCCUUAUAAUUAUCAUACUAGACUCCAUUAAUUGUAUUAUGCUUUGAAAGGAAGUGCUUCUUUUCACAAAAUUAAGUAACAUUCUCACGUAAAAUCGUUCUCCACAUGCAGAAUGCGCGAAGUAAAUUCUACCAAUUUACUUCCCCUUUUUUCUUCUAGUUCUAUUUUACCUUUUGCAUCCCAGUGUUAGUUUUAUGAUGGUCCAUCUAUGUUAGUUUUUAUGGCUCACGUUAAUAUCGUUUUUUUAAUAUUUAAUUACUAACUGAAUUCAAAUUCUAAUUGGAUAAGUGGAGAAAUUACUUACAUGUGUGGAGAAGUGGGGAAGUGGGAAGUUAAUCCAACUACCAGUUAAGUCUUUCACUUUACCCAUUACCUCUUCCAACUAUCCAUUAAGUGGGGAGUUACUUGGUAGUUUUAAAACUACCCAUUAUCUCCUCUAAUAACCAAGAUGGAAAUGUGGGAAUGAUGUUAAACACACUCUAUUUAAAAGGGUCCUCUCUCUGCCAUAAAGAUAUAGUAUUAUCCAUCAAAGCAAUUCAUAAAGUAUAAGGCAAGAGAGAGAAACAACUUUUGAAGAACCAAAAGAAAAUGGCUGAUUCAUGUAUAUAUUCAUGACUGAAUUAUUAUAGUAAUAUACUUAUGUGAAAAUCAUAUAGUUCAACGAUCUUGAAUUAAUUGAUAGGAUCUUUGAAUGCUUAGAUUGUUUAUGUUUUCAGAAUCAUUAAAAUCCUUACACCUAUAGCCAACAUGUAGGAAAACUGAAUAUGUUACGUCUCUCGCAUUCUCAUAUUCCUUGUUCGCCUCAAAUCAUUCCGUGAAUUUUGUUUUUACUAUAUCAGGUCUGUUUAGUAUGCUUUCAGGAUACCUUUGUUCUUGAAAUACUAUGGUGUUUUCUCCGAGUAAAUAGAAUGACAAACACUCAACUGCUGACACUCUAUAAUGUAUGUCAAAUUUAAAGAUCCUCCAGCAAGCUUUUGUAGUUGAUAUGUAUCUACAAUAUAGAUAUAUUUUGAUCUCAUCAUGUUUUGUGGUAGUAUCUAAUCAAUCUCUACCGAUUUUUGCUCUAUAAGAACCCUUAUAGACAUAUUUAAAUAGAUACUUCACCGAUCUUGAGUGAUUUCAUAACUCGUCAUUUAUAGGCGCAUAAAAUUUGACAAUCAAAUUCCUAUUAUAAGGGAAGACAAUUUGUUAUCUAAAAAGAAAUUAUUUUAUUGACUUUUGUACCUGUGUUUCUUCUCCUAUAAAUUGAAAACCCAUAUGCAUCAAAAGUUGUUUGAUUGUCGAACUUCUUUGGGAAAUGCAUGCUGCACUUUCCCUGUUUCAUACAUGGGCAUCCUGGAUUGAGGUCUCCACAUAGUCCGUGCAUCAUGUAGUUUUUCACAGCAUUAUAACCAUCAUGAUGGACAUCCAUAUCAGGUAUUUUAGCUAUUAUCAUUGUGUUUAUAUGAUCUAUAGAUGAAUUUUUUAAUGUGGGAUGCAAAAAGAGCAAUGUAUGUGCAUGAGGUAAAACUUUUUUUUGAAGCUCAAUUAUAUAUGAACCUAUAGAGUUAAUGGUAUAAUGUGUUUGUUAGGAUGCCAAAAAAGUAAGCAUUUGUUUUUAACCAAAAUGGAAACGCUUUAAUUAAUAACUGAUGCAUUAUGUUAGUAUGUUUAAGUUUGAACCUACAUGUGAUUAUUUUUCCAAAAUGUUGUUGCCUUUUCAAAUCUUGCAUCAGUUGGAAUAACUUGAUUUGGAACAUUCUGCAUAUGAUGUCCACCUAGUUAUCGUCAUCAGAUUGGUCAAUUAAGCAAUUUUUUUAUUUUGGGACACUUUGAAUUGUAUGUGAAAAUGAGGAACAAAUCUAGAUAUCCAGCCCACCUACAAAUUGCCAUUUCAUCUUGAUAAUUUUGUGCCUAAAAGCGAGGUCCUCCAAUGUGAGAUGCUGGCAAGAUAAUCGUUUUUCCUAUCAGUGAACAAUAUGAAUCACCAUGAAGAAUGACAUCCAUUAAGCAAGAGUAAAGAGCAACUCUGAGUUUUGUUUGAGUAUUUUGAAUAUAACGAAAUCUUUCUUUCUUGACUGUCAUGUAAUUGUCAACAAUGUAUUGUUGUAAUAGUUUACCAGCUAGUAAGAGAGUCUUACCCUCGGUAAGCCUUUGUAGUACUCUAAAACAAUAGAACUAUCUCAUCGAUAAUUUUUGUCGCUUGUAAGUCUUUUAGAUCACAUUUGUCACAUUUAUUCCAGGUCUAUAUCCAUCUUUGCCAUAUGGGUGUAUUAAGGGGUAUGUCAUAGGCAUAAAACUUUGAUGUAGAUUAGUAAUUUUUUGAAGUUUAUUUUUUUUCCGUUACUUUACAAUUAUAUCUCGCUGGAAAUUUUCUUCCGUAAGAUCACCUACUAUUAAUCUAGCUACUUUAGAAGUUGUGGGUAUAUUAUAUUGCUGACCAUCUGUUAUCCUGUUAGAUAGGAUACAUAGGCGAAAUUCACAUUCAGGAUGCUCUUUAUAUCUAUCCUUUGUCGUUCAAAAUUUUUUACCAAUAUAUUUUACUCGUUCAACAUUUAAUCUAAGCCAUGAACAAUUUUGAGAUCUAUGUCUCCUUGAAAUAGACAAUUCAUUAUGCUGUUUAUCUCAUUUUUUCAGUAUCAUAUAUAUACAUAUAUAUAUAGCUGAGCAAACUGCCUUUUUAUAUUAAUUUCAGGCAAUAAAGAUUCUAUACGAUGAUAAUUUUGAUCGCUUAUCUUGAAAACAUAUGGUCCCUUUGAGCGAUUGAUAGAUCCAUCAACUUGGUCACCGAUGGAUGUAAACACAAAUAUUGAGUUGUAAGCCUUGAUAUUUUUUCAAAAAUUCAUACAUAGUUGUCCUGAUUUUGUACCCAAAAGCUACAUGAGACAAGGUGGAAGUUUGCUCAAUAAAAGAAGUUGUACACGACCUCCUUCCAUAGAACAAAUGAGAAUUUCAAUUUUGUUGUUUCUAUAGUUUUUGUUGUCCAUUAUUCAUACUAUAAAAUAACUCCAUUAUAUUGACAUGUGUUUGGGGGCCAAAAUUUGUUGUGUAAUGGCAUGUCAAAAUUGAUCAUUUAAAUAUAAGCAUAGUCAUUCUAUAUGUAAUUAAUAAUUUAUUUAUUUAGUUUCUGAUAUGAACAAUAAGUUGAACUUUGAAAUUUAGUUUACAGAUAAAUGAGGAUGUAUAUUAACUCGAUGAAUGGGAACAUGUCCGCUUGAAAAGUUUGUCAACUUUCCCAACUCUGUGAAUCUAUUCACAAAACGUAUCAUCUAGAUUAUUAAUUUUUUGGAAUGUUCUUGUAUUGUUUUUCAAUUAAACCAACCUUUUUCUUCAAUCUGGAAUAGUUGCAUUUGUUGUUUUUUAGAGAGGCCACUUCUUUUUCAUUCCACUACACUUGUUUUUUGAUGCAUUUGCAUUUUCUGUUAGUUUUAGCAUUUGUUCUUGACAAGAUAAUUCUAGUAGUAGCUAUUGUAGGAGGUUAAUUUCUAUCAAAAUAUUCACUGAGCCACUGUAUUAUUUAACAAUAACAUAUAACAAUUCCAUUGAACCUGUUAAAAUUAUUUUGGUAGAAUAGAAUAUGUUAAAAGAAUUUUUUUUACCGUAAUGAGUAUAUUAGUCACUGUAAAUCAAAACGCUCACCCGAGAUGAUCUAAAAUAAAUUAAAUGGAGUUCAAUGUGUAAAUCUACUAUUGCGUUAAGUUUCUUUAAUUAUUAAAAAAGUAAAUAAAUGUCUCCCCUUCCUUGAUCUUGUGCUCUAUUUAAUUUGAAAAUGAAAAUUCAAUAGAUGAUCGAAUGAUCUUAGAAUUUGAAUAUGUUGAUGAAUAAUUGGACGACUAUAGAUUUUGAGUGUAAUGAAUUUGAAUAUGAAUUUGAAUAUGAAUAUAGGGAAGAUAUUAAAAUUUUCUAGCCAUUUAAUAGAAAUGAGUUGUAUUUGAUUUUUUGAUAAAAUGUAACUGAAUAAGAUUGGGAGGAAGAUUUGGGAUCAUCUCCCAAAUCAUUUGGAUGGGUAACUGAUAUAGAUGUUAAAUAUGUGACAGUAUUUUCCGGAAUAGAAUCUCAUUUGAAAGUCAAUAUAUGUUCUAAAGAAUACUGUUCAAGUUGUCAUGCCUCGAGCCUACACCUUGGACGUGGCCGUCACAUAAUGACCAUUGUUGGCCUUGAGCAAACCCUUAGUCUAGCUUGCAUAAGUCACCGGAAGACUUAACUCAAUAGUAAAUCAAGUAACCUUUAUCAUAAAUUAAUCAAAUUAAUGUCUUGGCCAAACUGACACUUAAGUCUCAAAAUAGAAUAUCUGAGUGCAAAAUAAAGAGAGACUCCAAUCUGACAAUCCGACUGACUACCUGUCUAUGAAGACUUUAUAAUACUAAGAUGAAUUUUGAGACAGACCCACAACAUUCUAACAAAUAAAAAUACCGAAAAACAUACAAAAGGAUCCUCCGAAAUAUAAGAAGGCUCACCAAUAACUCUGAUUGCUCAAACAAGAUCAACGAGACGCUGGGUGCUGAUCCUCGUUUCCUGCGUCUGCAUCAUAAGACGAUGCAGGCCAACUAGAAUCAUUACGUUGAAUGUACGAGUAUGCGAGUUGGAAAGCUAAAGAAGACUUAAGCUUGAAAAAAUAAGAUGAACUUACUUUGGCUUUGCUCAACUCAUGAAUACUCAACUCAAUGCAUAUAUAUAUAUAUCUAUAUAUAUAUAUAUAUACAUAUAUAUUUCUAUACUUUGUCGUCACGUAGAACUCCUUAACUUAGUGGAUACACUGGCUUAACUUACGUGAUAAUCUAAAAAGUAUGACUUGCUAAUACCCAUGAUGGCUCCAUGGUUUACAUGGAGUCUGAAGUUAAUAUUAACUCUCAUCCUCACAUCUGUGCUCAAUACUACUCCCAAAAUAUACUUUAGGUCAUGCUUUUAAAAUAAAUUCCUUUAUUUGGGUUGAGAUAAUUUGCUCAAUACUUUAGCUUUAAAAAGCUCUCUUGGAAUCAAUGUUCCCUUUUCUUGUUAAAAAAUUUAUUGGAAAAUCUUAGUUUCUUCUUAACUUAAUGUAAAAACAUUUAUAAAUUUCUAGAAAUUACUUAGUUCUCUUAUAGCUUUUGAGAAAUGAACUCAACUCCUUACUCUUUACUUGACUUGAAACUUUUUGAUCCUAAUCGACUCUUUAGGGAAUAUUUAGUUCUCUUAUACUUCCUUGAAGGAGAGACUUCAAAUUUUGCCUUCUCUUUAACUCAAAGCUUGAGCCUUAAAAUGAAGUUAAAACGUUUCAAUAAGACUUUUGGAAACUUUAAGAAACUUCACUUUGACUUAUUUCUUAACCUUUUAAACUUAACUCUUAACUUCUUAGACUUUGAUAUUAAGUUUCCUUGAAUUGGAUUAUGGAUUUGAGGUUCAUUAUUUCAUGUUUAUGGAUGAUUUCAUGAUGUUUAGAUGUGCCUUAGAGUGUUGGAAUCGACUAGGAAUUUUAGUACAUCACUUAGGAAUUGGUACGAAAAGAUGGGGCGAAAAUGGGGUCUCCGGGCAUCCGUAGCUCUCUCACAGGCACAGAGCGCCAAAGCUUGACGAACAAAAUCUGUCCUGAGGCGAUCUAGCUAGUGUUACACGCCAAAGCCUAACGGACAGAGACUAUCUUGAGGGGAUCUGGUUGGCGCGGCGCCCAAGGUUCUGUCAGACGGUAUUUUCAUUUUUUUUCUCCAUUUUCAACUCUAAACCUUCUAAACUUCCAUGGAUCUUUCCCCAAUCACUUAGGAUCACUAAUAACCUCAAUGUUUAAUAGAUUAGACUCUAUAAACAACUCAGAACAACAGAUCAAAUUAACGAAAGUCAUACUACAAGUCAACCAACAAGAAAUCAUCCAUUGUUUUCAAGAACUUCAAUGUUCAUCAUUCAAACUACUCAAAAUUUGCUGAAUUUAACAAAUUGGUGUAUGGGUGAACUAACCCAACAUGGAAAUAUCUUACAUACCUUAUUAGGGAUCAUUCCCGACAAAUUCUACUUGACGAUCUUGGCUUCUUGAUGAAUUUUUGAUCUUUCUCCCUUCUCCUUCUUCUAUUUCUCCCAAACCCUAAGCUUGAAUAACUUUUCGAAAACUGACUUAAGGCUUAGUUGUUCCCCUAAUUAACCUUCAAAAUGAAUUAGAAAAUAGUUGGGUGAAAUGACAAGUUUACCCUAACCAAAAUCAGGAUUGGGACCCUCUUCAAUCCAACAAUCCAACUUCUGAUAGGCAUAUCUCGAUCAUAUGAUAUUGAAAAUGGACAAACUCAACGGCGUCAAAACGAUUUCUCCAAGGUAUUUCCAACCAUAUAAAUAACUAACUCUAAAUCAUCCUGAGCUAGAAGUUAUGGCCAUCUGAAAAUGACCAAAAAUCAACUUUUGAACUUAGGAAAGUUUCCAGAUUUCCCUUUUUCUUUCCUUGAGUGAUAAUUUUAGUUUCUUAGCUAUUACUAGUUACGAGAUGUUAGACAAGUAGAGUAGAAAAGAGUAUACGAACCAUUGAAAAUCAAAAGCCUCACUAGAGAUGAUCUCAAAGAAAUUGAAUGGAGUGCAAUGUGUAAAUCUACUGUUGCGUUAAGUAUUACUUUAAGAUAGUAAAUGAUACAGUAAUACUUUGUUCUUACCAUUAUAUUGAUGGAUCGUAUAAGCUGAUUGUCAUUUAAGGCUCAAGAUGAAGGGAUUCAUGUAAGAAACAUUAACCAUGAAUUACACAAAUAAUUUAUAAUAGAAUGAAUGAUGUUGUCACCUUGGUACUCUUAAGAAUGCAGAUCCCUGUUUUAUUAUUUUGGUAAGAAUUGUAACACCUUAAAAAUCCAAGACUCAUUGUAAAUCCUAACAUAGGUUUCAUAAAGUCUUAACACUAUUUUUGAAUCCAUUUUUAAUGAAUAUAGUCAUUUAGGAGGUUAAAGUACGUCCGAGAAGUUGGCUCAAAGGGAUGUUAGUGUGCCUUAUCCUUUUUGACAAACUUUUAGAAGUCGAAAAUGUACGAAAAUGGGUGUAAAGAUAGUUAAUGGGUGUUUGAGUUGUUCCAUGGUUGAAAUGUCUGGGUACGACUCCCCAAGGACUAACAAAGGGCACUUGAGGAGGACCUGUGCAGUUUGAUGCAGCACUGCUUGAUAGUGUGUAUCGAUGGGGUAGAUCAUGGCCCGUGUGUGGAUCGAUGGGGCGUCAAUUCCACCAUCGUAGCACACUUAGUCUUGUGGAGAAGGUCCCUUCACCUGCAGAGUUUCUUGAGUUAUCGACAGAAUACGUAGGUGCAGGCUAUGGUCCGUGUGUGGAUAGACGGGGCGUUGAUGCCACCGUGAUUCCACACUUGGAAAAAUGAAGAAAGACCCUGCCUGCACCAGUCUCUGACCGAGAUUACAAAUGUGCAGCAUGAACCGUCGAUGGACCAAAGAUCCGUCGAUCGUGGUCUCAUCGAUGGGGUCUGCAAAUUCCUGCACGUUUUAAAUUAAAUUCAUUUAAUAAAAUAAGUGGUUUAGGGGUAAUUUGGGAUAAAGGAAGACUGAUUAAGUUUAUUUAGUCCCACUAUAAAUACCUCAACACUCACUAACCUAAAGAGAACUCUCAAAAUAAACUCUCUUCCUUCUCUCUUAUUUCUCUCUAUACAUGAACUCACCUUUGAAGGCUAGUAAGACCUAGGUUUGGGGGUUGGAAAGGGAUGAAUUCACCAUCAAAUUGUUGACAAAUGUUUAAGGUAUGUGUUUAAUUUACCUUUGAUAUCCUUUCCUCAAAGGAUUCCUUCAUAAUAUAUUUCAAUAAGUUGAGUUUUCUUAUGGGUUUCAUCCAAUUACGAAAUUGAAGUUAUGGAUUGAGUUGUUAAUGAAUUCUAGAAUCUGUAUCUUUACUUCCAAUUGUAAUUAAUUGUUGUUAAGUCAUGAUAUUACCUUUGGAGUAUGCCUUAUACUAGGAUUAUAGGAUGUUAUGAUGUUGAAUUAAAAUUUCAUGACUAUAUUAUGAGGUUGAUUAAGGUGUAUGUGAUAUAACUAUGGUGAAAACUAUCAAUAUGCCUUAAUAUGUUAUAAAAUGCUAAUGUGUUAAACUCACUUAUAUGAAUUGCGAUGAAAGGACUUAUAAUCAUACAAUUCUUAUUGAGCUAUUGAUGAUGAUUAUACAAGGGGUAGACCCUAUGACCUAAAUCAUGUUAUUAUUGAUAAUUAAGGUCUUAAAGACAUUUCAAUAAAGGGACUUAGCUUAAGACCGAGUGAACUUGACAAUGGGAGGUGAUGACAUUCCAUAGAGGAAGUAUUACCCUAUAGGUCUAUAAGUGAUGUGGACUCCUCUUUGAGGGAUACUCAUCCAAUGAUUCCCAUGAGGUGAGGCCCCAAUUACUAAAUGGUUUGUAGAGGGAAUACCUAUCUCUUUGUUCCUUAAACUAUGUUGCCACCAUAGCAUACUAGCUAGUGGAUACACAUAGAAAGCUAUGUUUAUAUGAGGUUUUACCUUGGCCGGUAGACCACUUUCCAUCGGUGGAAGGUUUUAUGACAUCGGAUUGCACAUUUAUAUCAUGCGGUCUAUGUCGGCUAAAGCGAGUGUUCCCUAAAGUAAAAUAAAAGAAUGAAGCAUAGACUAACUAUAGUAAUUUGAGGGGUUUGACUUAGCCUAGGUAGAGGUAUGGGACUCUACCUAUGCCUUGCACUAGCUUGCUUUGAUGGGAGCUGUGGGAAGUUAAUAUUAUGUAUAUGGAUGGUUCUAAAUGUAAAUGUUUUUAUAUAAUGAUUAUGACGCUUAUGAACAUGCAAAUGGUCUCAAUGGUCUUAAUUACUAAAUAUAUGAAUUUAUGAAUAUAUGAGGUUAUAUUGUGUGAUGUAUAUGGGAAUUUAUGAUUUGUUACCUUACUUUGCUAUUUAUGUGAUUAAUCUUAUUCAUGAUUAUGAUGAUAUUACUUGGUAAUCGCGUAUACAAUAUUAUGGGUUCAAGCGUGUUGAUAUACAUUUGACUUCCUUAACUAUUGGUUGUGCAUAAGAUCUCAUACUUAGUACAUGUGGAGUACUAACCCCAUUUUCUUCCCUUUUCCCCCAAACAUUUUAUGUUCCGGUUGUUUAAGAGUUUUGGGAGGAAUCAUUGUUGAAGACUUGGAUUCUUCCUUUCAUCCAAGUAGGGUAGGGCCUCAACUCUUGAGGGCAAUGCCAUCCUCUAGCUUUGGAUUUUGCUAUGAACUUAUUAACUCUAUCAUUCCUUUCCUUGUUAUUUGAAUAUUUUACUUUUGUACGACCUAUACAUGGUCUUGUUGAAUUUAUGUAAGGGAUAUUCUCACACUGUGAUAUUUGUUUAGAUGGUAUAAGAUGAGACAAUCAUUGAGACUUUAUUCCAUAUUCUUAUAUAUGUAUGUGUAAUAAAAGUAGAAGGCUAUGUAACCUUCCUAUAUGAAGGGUCUAUGUAUACUCGAUAUGAAUAUAUAUUAUGUGUAUGUAGAGGUCUAUGUAAACCUCCAAGUCGUAAUAAUAAAAGUUUUGAAUUUUUCCAUAUUUUUCAACCUAUGAAUGUUAUGACAUGAAACUAAGAGGCUAGUCUUAGUCCUUCAAAAGGACGACGAUGCCGGUUACGUCUAGGGGCUAAACCCAGAUUUGACAAACUUGGUAUUAUAGAAUGAGGUUGAAUAUCAUUGAGUUAUGUCUCUCCCUCUCUACCACAUCUAUGUAGGUUUGUAUUCAUAAUUGUGAAUCACGCCACACUUAUGAGUAGGAACCUAUAUGAUGCUUAGGAAUCACUCUCUUUUUUGGAAAUCUUAUAUCGUGCCAAUAGAGUAUACUUAUGGUGUGCUUUUGCAUCUAAUAAUAUUGUUGUGCUUAUAGGAAACAUGAACACUCGAAGAAAUUUGGCUCGAAGACUUUGAGGAAGUUGCUAAUGCUGGAGCUCCUCCCAAUGAUGAUCAAGUUCCUCUACUUGAGGAGAAUGCUAAUGUUGAUCAAGCCCUGGAUAACCCUGCACCUAUGACGGAGACGGAGAUGAGGGAUAUUCUUUAUCAAAUGGCUCAAGCCAUGACUACUCAAUCACAAGACACGAUAGUUCAAGCCCAAGUAUGACGGCCCAAGCCAAUCGGAAGGUUGCACCUAGGGUUCAUCAACACGUUUCUACUAUGGCUUCCCGACUUAGGGACUUCACUCGGCUGAAUCCUCCUACCUUCUAUGGGUCUAAGGUUGAUGAAGACCCCAAAAUUUAUUGAUGAGGUAUAUAAGAUACCUUAUGCUAUGGGGGUGUCUACAAGUGAGAAGGCUGAGUUGGCCACAUACCAACUCAAGGAUGUAACCCAAUCUUGGUUUGUGCAAUGGAGAGAUAACAGAAUGCUUUGAGGAGGACUUGUGACUUGGGAGAUCUUCAAGAAGGCAUUUCUUGACCGAUUUUUCCCUACAGUGAUGAGAGAAGCCAAAGUGGUCGAAUUCAUUAACCUUCGCCAAGAGGGUAUGAGUGUUAAUGAUUACUCCUUGAAGUUCAUCUAAUUGGCUAAAUAUGAUCCUUCCUUAGUCUCCAAUCCUAGACGAGAUGAGUUGAUUUAUGACGGGUGUAUCAGAUGACUUACAAGAAGAAUGUCAUUCGGCGAUGUUACAUUACAAUAUGAAUAUUUCCUGUCUUAUUGUACUUGCUAAGAGGGUGGAGUAGUCUAGAUAUAAGAGGAAGGAUAGGGAUGCAAAGAGGAAAAGGUCCUUUGAUGGUGGAACUACAAAGAAUAGGCUUGAGAUUCAAGACAAGCCUAAAUUCAAGAAGAGAUUCUGAAAUCAUGUUCCAUCCAAAUUUCCUAAGGCUAGGGAUGAAAAAACCCCUAGGCCAAAAGUCCAAAAGGGGAAGAUUGGGAGUUCGUUCAAUGAGAAACCUACUUGUGACAAAUAAGGAAAGGGUCAUUUUAGUGAAUGCUUGGUAGGAACGGGGAUUUACUUUGGUUGUGGAAAAAAUGGCCACAAGGUGAGAGCCUUAAUUCUAAGUGGCAAGAGAAGGUUGGACAACCAAGUGAUUCUAGUGAUGCUCCAAAGAAGAUAAACUUCUAUUUUCUUCGUUCUAGGCAUGAGCAAGAGAUCUCUCCCGAUGUGGUGACCGGUAUGUUAAAAAUAUUUACUCUUGAUGUGUAUGAUUUACUUGAUCCGGGUGCUACUUUUUCCUUUGUUACACCUCUAGUAGCUAAAAUGUUUGAUACUUUACCCGAUAUUUUGCAUGAGCCUUUUCUAGAGUAUACUCCGGUAGGAGAGUCAGUUGUUUUUAAAAGAGUCUAUCAAAAUUGUCCUAUUGCAUUGUCCAAUAGAGUUUCUUAUGUUGAUCUAGUAGAACUCGAUAUUCUUGAUUUUGAUAUUUUAUUGUGUAUGGAUUGGUUGCAUGCAUGUUUUGCAUCCAUUGACUGUAGGACAAGAGUGGUGAGGUUUAACUUACCAAAUGAACCCGUUGUUGAUUGGAAGGGGAAAAAUUCUAUUCCUAGAGGUCGUAUCAUAUCUUAUCUAAAAACAUGUAAAAUGAUAUCAAAUGGUUGUCUCUAUCACAUAGUAAGUGUUCAAGAAUUGGAUUUCGAAAUUCCUCCUACAGAGCCGGUCCCCGUAAUGAGUGAAUUUCCUGAGGUUUUUCAUAUGAACUUCCCAGUAUUCCUCCCGAACGGGAAAUUGAUUUUGUUAUCAAUUUGCUCCGGAAACAAAUUCCAUUUCAAUCCCUCCAUAUCAGAUGGCUCCGGACAAAAUUGAAGGAGUUGAAGACUCAACUCAAGGAUUUGCUUGACAAAGGCUUUAUAAGGCCUAUUAUAUCUCCAUGGGGUGCUCCAAUGUUAUUUUUCAAAAAGAAGGAUGGGUAUUUGAGAAUGUGUAUUGAUUACUGCCACUCAACAAGGUCACUAUUAAAAAUUAGUACACUCUCCCUCAGAUUUAUGACUUAUUUGACCAACUACAAGGGGCGAGUUACUUUUCAAAGAUAGACUUGAGGUCGGGAAAUCAUCAACUUAGGGUGAGAGGGGAGGAUGUACCAAAGACGGACUUUCGGAAUAGGUAUGGGCAUUAUGAGUUCUUGGUCAUGUCUUUCGGUCUCACUAAUUGUAACAACCCUAAAAAUGGAUAUGUUAAGUAUUUCUUGAUGUGUCUAGAAUGUCUACAAUUAGACCGGGUCCACACAGAUUGAUGCGCGUAGAAACAGACAUCUGAACCCUUGCGACAUACAAGCCAACUAACUUGGGGAGUUAUUUAAUCUAUUAAAGGUUGGGUCCAGCCAUGUAGGCUCUCGAAUAUGAAGAUUUACUCGGAUGAGCCUUUACCAGACUUAAAAAGGGGAAAUCUUAAGUUUGGAGGGUCUAAGGGUAAAAUUGUCUUUUUUAGGAUAAGGGUAGUAUGUUAUUUACCCUAAAUAUGUAAUUAAUUAUUUAAUUAAUAAGGUGGAGGGGCAUUUUGGGUAGAAAGGGCCGAAAUUACCCAUUGAACAAAAUCUUGCUCCACCCGGUUCGAACCUAGGUGGGAGCAAUGAUUUAAUUUGAUUUAUUUUGUUUGGUGAAUUAAUUUAAUUAAUUAAUAUGUAAUUACUUAUUUAAUUAAAGGAAAAAUCAGAUUUUGAAUACUAAUAUUAAUGAUAUAAUAAUAAUAAUAAUAAAUAAUUUAUAAUGAGGAGUCCUAGUUUAACUAAGUCUUCAGCUAACUCUCCUAAUCCGAAUCCACUCAUUCUCACGUGUUUCUCUACUCCUCUCUCACUUUCACGCUUGUGCAUUCUGUAAAAAAAGAAGAGAACAGAAAUAAUAAAGUUCACUAAGAACUUAAAUGCUAAAAAACUCAAAAGAAAAGUUAGUGUAGAAAUGUAAAACAAAACAAAGUUCUUGAUGGGACUGUGCUUGAAGUUUCGGUGGUGAGGCUUGGUUUCGUGUGAAACUGGCAGCAUUUAAACAAGUGUCGAACGACAUUAAUGUAUGGGUUUCUCUCCUAGACUCCUUUAUCCAAGAGAAUUUCCUUUCCAUGAAUUCAACGAACUUUGUAACUAGGAUUGUUCCCGUUCUUGUCAAACUCCUUGUCCCUAGUAUUCUUUUGAUUUCAAUUUGAAAAGGUUUGAGAUCUUUUUUUUGGUAUGUUUGUUGGUAGUUUAAGUAAGAAGUGUCAUUUUAGUGAUAAUAUGUUCAUGAUUAUGUGUUAGAAAUGGUAAGCAUGUUAAUUUAUUCCAACCGAAAGUAUGUGAAAAGUGAUGUUAGUGUAAAUGUUUGUGUAAAUCAUUAUGUGCAAAAGUGGUGUAAUGUUGAUGAAACGUCCUAAGAUUUAAUGAACAAAUGAUGAUAACAAGGAGCUGAAAAUAGUGAAAAAUUUCCAGCAUUUGGUAGGUUGGGUUCGGCCAUUCAAAGUGGUAUCAAAAUGCAAUGAAAAAUGAAUCUAAAAUAAGUGAAAUCACUAAGGAUUGAACCCAAGACAUCAUUAUAUGAAAGAUACAAAAAAAUCAACAAAAGAUUAAGACAAAAAUGGUUUGGAAGAGAUAAAUUUCUAGCCUGCUAGAAGUUGUCGUCUCGGCCAACUUUUUAAAAAAUGAGCUUCGUUUAAAUUUUUUUUAUAAUGUGAGGUCAUUGGGGAUUGAACCCAUGACUUCACUAAAUGAAUAGUUCAUGAGAAAAAUUCAAGAAAAAAAUAAAUGUGGUGAGUGGGGAUUGAAACCACAACCUCUUGCAUGGAUGAGAGAGUUAGGAGAACAAUAAAGGAGAAAAUAAAUAUGGAGAGUGGCGAUUGAACCCACAACCUGUUGGAUAGGUGAGAAAGUUAAAAGAUAAAUUAAAAGAAAAAAAUGAAUCGUGGGGGAUUGAACCCACAACAUUCUUGAUUUAAAUGAAAAAGAGGAGGAGAAAAAGAAAAGAAAUAUUAUGGGGUUGAUGAGGAUCGCACUAGGGUCCCCCAAAUAUGAAAAAUUAAAUUAUCAAGUUUAGAAUAAGAUCAAGUGUUGUCCAAGGGAUUCAAAUUUGGUUCCCUUUCCCAAUUUCGUAUUUACACAUAAGUCAUACAUAAGUAAAUAUUUGAUGAAUGUUGCCUCUAAAGAUCGAAAUCAAUAUCUUGGCAUAACUACAAGAUGCAUAAGUCUUGUAGCACAUAAUCUUGGGUAAACAUAAAUCACUUAGACAAACUAUAAAUGAAGCCUCAUGGCUUGUAUGUGUGGACUCAUAAGUCUAGCAUACGUUUAAAAGUAGGUGAGCCUAAGAUGUAUGUGAUGAAAUGAUGUAACCCUAGAAGGGUUAAGUAAGAGUGUGAAACACAAUAAAUGGCCAAGUGUAUUUGGUAUAUGAUGAAAUGAACAUUCAUGUGAAGGGGUGAGUAAUUAUGAAAAUCAAAUGUGUUAAAGUUAAUAAAUGAGGUGACAAUAUGAUAAGAGGUUAAUGUGAAAGAUGAGACCAAUCUCAAAUGAGCAUUAGUAAAUGUUACUAAAACGUACUCACCUAUGAGAGUGUAAAGCUAAUGAAGAGACCAAUCUCUGUGAACACUCUAAUGAAAGUAUUGAAGUUAAUGCACACUUAAUACUAAUUAUGAGAUGAUAAAUCAUCUAAUGAGCUAUGACGUCCUCAUGCUAGAACCAACGUCCAUGAUGUAUGAGUUGAAUGUAAUGAAACUUUAUACUUAGCACCGAUAGGCUAGCUAUGAGUGGUGAUGCCUUCCUUCGGGAAGGGUGGAGGUUCUCGUAACUCCCUUGGGAUGAGAUUGUCCGGCAUGCCAGGUAUAGGCCUCCUUAUAUAUCCUAGUCUUUGAACCUAUACUGCCAAUAUAGGGAUCUAGCAUGGUUCAAUUCCCUACAUAAGCUAGCAUGUUUUGGUUCACUUUGGUCGGUGAUUCCACCUCUUUUCGGUGUGGGGAUUACACACUGGAUUUCAUGCUACUCACAUGAUCUAUGUCAGUUAAGGUUAAAGUUCCCAAAGAAAAAAUGAGGCCAGCCUCAACGAAUGCACAUAAUGAAAUGAACGAUACGAAGAUGUUAGGAUGAGAUAAUCAAGAGGUGAGCUAGACUUAAGUAAUAACACUAGGUUAUUCUUGGUCAUUUCACAACGAACCCGAUGAGAGUCUUAAAUACAUCCUAGGUAAGAUUGGUGGCUGCACUAGUAUAUGAAAGAAUGAAAAUCAAGUACGUAUGAAUGAAUGAAGCAGACUCUAUGCUUGUUAAAGAAGGCUCCCUAGUUGAGGUCCCAUAUGUUGAGCCCUUAUUUUGGGAUGUCCUAAUGUCAAGUCCAAGAUUCCGAGGUCUCAUGGCAUAUGAAAGAAUGAUAUGAACUAUGUGAUAUGAUAUGUAUAAUAUGUUAUGUGCUGUUUGUAAAAUGAUAAGUAUGAUGAUGCAUGUUACUCUCAUGGCAUGACUUUCCUAAUCCGAAAUUGGCAAGUCCACUGAGUUGACUUUCCAUAAGUUAUAUCGAUAGGAGAGAGAUCUUCUUAAUCAUGCAUGUCUUUGGUGUCUGCUUGCAUAUACCUUAGUACAAAUGUGUACUAAUCCCAUACAAUUCUAUACUUGUUGGUGCAGGCACAUGCGGACGCGAUAGCUUACAGUACGACGUUACAGCUAUCCCGACGUGGUGCAUUCAUCCGGAUUUGGUAGGCCCUCAUGCUUUUAAGGAUGUUUGCCCAUUAUAUUCUAGCUUAGAUAUAGAAUUGAGUUAGUAGAGUAUGUUCCACUAGCAUUUCUUUCUUAUCUUAUUUCAGACAUUGUAUUGGUGCCAUUUUGGCAAGUAUACACUUAAUGUAGUAUGGAACUAUUUCUUUCAUUUGAUUAUCUUAAUAUUAGAUUGGUUAUUUUGAACAUUUAUGGUUUUAAGUAGAAUGUCUUAAAUGAAUGUUAAGUAACAAAAGUUUCAAAUUUUCUGCUAAAUUAACCUAGAUGAAGUAACGAUAACGUAUGUAGGCUUGUCUGCGACCUUUGAGAGUUCAACAAUGCCGGUCUCGUCUAAGGUCUAGACUCCGGUCGUGAAAAAGUUGGUAAUAGAAAAUUAGUUUUAAUUCCUAGGAUAAUAAGUUCAUAUCAACCACAUCAAGUAGUUUCUAUGUCAUGGUAGUGAAGUGCACCACUUUCUUGAAUUAGAGACUGCAUGAUGUGUAGGAAAAUUCCCUUCUUCUGAUCUUAUCAUGCCUUAUCUAAUGCCUGAUUUCUUGCUGUUAAAAUCAUAUAUAACAUCAACUCUUGAGAUUCAGAAAGAUGAAUAUAAGGAUAAACACAGGAGGAGAGAUUGGAGGAGCAGCUACCGAAGUAAACAAAGUUCCUCCCUAGGGUCCAACUGCUGAAAUGGAGAUACCUGUUAACCUAGCUUGGUUGACAGAUGGAGAAGUAAGGAAAACCCUGGUACAGAUGGCCCAAGUAAUCACCUUAUAAUAUCAGGCUAUGAAAGCCGAGUCAGAGCAAUAAGGUGUUCCCAGGAAGAACCCACCUGCCAGCACCAUGGAUAGUAGGUUAAGGGACUUCACGAGGAUGAAUCCUCACGUUUACACUAGAUGUAAGAGUGAUGAGCAUCUCGAGGAGGAGUGUAGGGAAGUUAUGUUGCAUGACAGCAUGGACCUUUCUAGGCUUAUGGUCCAUGUCAACCAAGUGGAGGAAAGAAGGAAGAGGAAGCACACUAGGGCAGGUAACAUGUAAAGGCAAACUGAGGAGAAUUUUUCGAGGAAGAGUAGAACUGAAAUCACAGAUAAUAUUAGGUUUAUAAAGGGACUCUCCCACGAAGGGGAGUCAAGUUUAUUCAAGGGUCGCUAUGAUAGGGAUUUCGAGCCCAAAGUUAAGAGAAACAGUGAAGUAGAUACACCUCAGGAGAGGCCACCAUGUAGGAAGUCUGACAAACUACAUGGAGGAGAGUGUAUGAUGGGAUCUAACGCUUGUUAUAGUUGUGGAAAACAGGGUCACAUGAUGAAGGAUUGUUCGAAUAAUAGAGGUCAAGAAAAUAAGAAGGAGAAAGUUCAGCCUAAUAGUCCAAGUGAAGAGGCUCCAAGGAGGCAACGAUUCUUCGCACUCAAGUCUAGGGGUGCAAGGGAAGACACUUCUGGUGAUUUCUCGGGUGCAUAGCCUUUAUUAGUAUUUCAUGAGUUUGAAUGUGUACGAUUUUAAGCACUAGUAUGAAGUUAAUAUGUUUGGGUCAUCGUGUUGGUUGCUGAUUUGUGUGACUUAUAUGUUUACUUGUGUUGUAUCCUUGGACGAGACUAGUUUAGGAAAGAGUUCCUUAGUAUAUUAAUGUGAAGCUGCUAGUAGGUUUCAAAUAUGUGCACCACCAUGCUAAUAGUUGAAUCAGAUACUCACCAAUAAAAAGUACUGAAUUGCUUAUGUAUACAUAUGUUCAAUAGAGGAAUGACUUGUUGCUAGUAAAGAGUUGUGUCAUUCGGGGACGAAUGUUCCUAAGGGGGGAUAAUAUAACAACCCUAAAAAUUGAUAUGCUAAGUAAUGCUUAAUGUGUCUAGAAUGCCUACGAUUAGACCAGGUUCACACGGAUUGAUGCGCGUAGAAUCAGACCUCUAAACCCUUGCGACAGCCAAGUCAACUAACUUUGGGAGUUAGUUAAGCUAGGAAAGGUUCCAUCCAUGUAGGGCUCUCAAAUAUGAAGAUUUACUUGGAUGAGUCUUUACCGAACUUAAAAAGGUAAAAUCUUAUGUUUGGAGGGUCUAGGGGUAAAAUGGUUUUUCCAGGAUAAGGGUAGUAUGAUAUUAUCCUAAAUAUGCAAUUAAUUAUUUAAUUAAUAAGAUGGAGGGGAAUUUAGGGUAGAAAGGACCGAAAUUGCCCAUUGAGCAAAAUCUUGCUCCACCCGAGCUCGAACCUAGGUGGGAGCAAUGAUUUUAUUUGAUUUAUUUUAUUUGGUGAAUUAAUUUAAUUAAUUAAUAUUUAGUUACUGAUUUAAUUAAAGGAAAAUAAUAUUUUGAAUAAUAAUAAUAAUAAUAAUAAUUAUAUAUAAUAAUAAUGAUAAUGAUGAUAAUGAUGAUGAUGAUGAUGAUGAUGAUGAUAAUAAUAAUAAUAAUAAUAAUAAUAUUAAUAAAUAAUGAGGAGUCCUAGUUUGACUUAGUCUCCACCUUACUCUCCUAAUCCUAAUCUACUCAUUCUCACGUGUUUGUCUACUCCUCUCUCACUUUCAGACGUAUGCAUUCUGUAAAACAAAAUAACAAAACAGAAAUAAUAAAAUUCAUCAAGAACUUGAAUGCUAAAAAACUCAAAAGAAAAUUUAGUCUAUAAACGUAAAGCAAAACAAAGUUCUUGACUUGAUUGUGCUUGAAGUUUCGGUGGUGAGGCUUCAUUUCGUGGGAAAUUGGCAGCAUUCAAACAAGUGUGGAACGACAUUAAGGUUUGGGUUUCUCUCUUGGACUCUUUUUUCCAAGCGAAUUUCCUUUACACGAAUUCAGCGAAUUUUUAAACUAGGGUUGUUCCCAUUCUUGUCAAACUUAUUGUCCCUAGUAUCCUUCUGAUUUUAAUCAGGAAAGGUUAGAGAUCAUUUUGUUAGUAUGUUUGCUGUUAUUUUAAUGUGAAGUGUGAUUCGUGAUAAUGUGUUCAUGAUUAUGUGUUUGGAGUUGUAAGCAUGUUAAUUUAUGCCAACCGAAAGUAUGUGAAAAGUGAUGUUUGUGUAAAUGUUUGUGUAAAUCAUGAUGUGCAAAAGUUGUGUAAUGUUGCUGGAUUUAAUGGUAAUUCUUGGCUGAUUAACCAUGAAAAAGAUAUACUUAAAUAUGCACCAAAUGAUUCAUGAAACAUCCUAUGAUCUAAUGAACAAAUGAUGAUAACACAGAGUUGAAAAUAUUGAAGAAAUUUCCAGCAUUUGGUAGAUUGGGUUCGGCCAAUCAAAGUUGUAUCAAAAUGCAAUUAAAAAUGAAUGUAAAAUAAGUGAAAUCACUAAGGAUUGAACCCAAGACAACAUUACAUGAAAGCUACAAAAAAAUAAACAAAAGAUUAAGACCAAAAUGGAUUGGAAGAGACAAAAUUUCCAGCCUGCUAGAAAUUGUAGUUUCGGCCAACUUUUAAAAAAAUGAGCUAUGUUCAAAAAAGUUUUAAAAUGUGAGGUCACUGGGGAUUGAAACCAUGGCCUCACUUAAUGAAAAUUUCAUAAAACAUUCGUGAGAAAAAUGCAAGAAAAAAAAAAGAUGUGGUGAGUGGGGAUUGAAACCACAACCUCUUGAAUGGAUGAGAGAGUUAGGAGAAAAAUACAGGAGAAAAUAAAUGUGGAGAGUGGGGAUUGAACCCACAACCUGUUGGAUUGGUGAGAAAGUUAAGAGAUAAAUUAAAAGAAAAAUAAUGAGAUUGUGGGGGAUUGAACCCACAAUCUCCUUGAUUUAAAUGAAAAAGAGGAGGAGAAAAAGAAAGGAAAUAUUAUGGGGUUGAUGGGGAUCGAACUAGGGUCCCCCAAAUCUCAAAAAUGCAAUUAUCAAGUUUAGAAUAAGAUCAAGUGUUGUCCAAGGGAUUCAAAAUUGGGUUCCCUUGCCCAAUUUCGUAUUGACACACAUAAGUCAUACGUAAGUAAAUAUUUAAUGAAUGUUGCCUCUAAAGAUCGAAAUCAAUAUCUUGGAAUAUUAAGUCUUGUACCACAUAAUCUUGGGUAAACAUGAAUCACUUAGACAAACUAUAAAUGAAGUCUCAUGGCUUGUAUGUGUUGACUCAUAAGUCUAGCAUACGUUUAAAAGUAGGUGAGCCUAAGAUGUAUGUGAUAAAAUGAUGUAACCCUAGAAGGGUUAAGUAAGAGUGUGAAACACAAUAACUGGCCAAGUGUAUUGGUAUAUGAUGAAAUGAACAUUCAUGUGAAGGGGUGAGUAAUUAUGAAAAUCAAAUGUGUUAAAGUUAAUGAAUGAGGUGACAAUAUGAUAAGAGGUUAAUGUGAAAGAUGAGACCAAUCUCAAAUGCCUAAGUAAAUGUUACUAAAAUGUACUCACCUAUGAGAGUGUAAAGCUAAUGAAGAGACAAGUCUCUGUGAACACUCUAAUGAAAGUAUUGAAGUUAAUGCACACUUAAUACUAAUUAUGAGAUGAUAAAUCAUCUAAUGAGCUAUGAUGUCCUCAUGCUAGAACCAACUUCCAUGAUGUAUGAGUUGAAUGUAAUGGAACUUUAUACUUAGUACCGAUAGGCUAGCUAUGAGUGGUGAUGCCUUCCUUCGGGAAGGGCGGAGGUUCUCGUAACUCCCUUGAGAUGAGAUUGUCCGGCAUUCCAGGUAUGGGCCUCCUUAUAUAUCCUAGUCUUUGAACCUAUACUGCCAAUAUAGGGAUCUAGCAGGGUUCAAUUCCCUACAUAAGCUAGCAUGUUUUGGUUCACUUUGGUCGGUGAUUCCACCUCUUUUCGGUGUGGGGAUUACACACUGGAUUUCAUGUUACUCACAUGAUCUAUGUCGGUUAAGGUUAAAGUUCCCAAAGAAAAAAUGAGGCCAGCCUUAAGGAAUGCACAUAAUGAAAUGAACGAUACCGAAGGUGUUAGGAUGGGAUAAUCAAGAGGUGAGCUAGACUUAAGUAAUAACACUAGGUUAUUCUUGGUCAUUUCACAACGAACCCGAUGAGAGUCUUAAAAUACAUCCUAGGUAAGAUUGGUGGCUGCACUAGUAUAUGAAAGAAUGAAAAUCAAGUAUGUAUGAAUGAAUGAAGCAGACUCUAUGUUUGUUAAAGAAGGCACCCUAAUUGAGGUCCUAUAUGCUGAGCCCUCAUUUUGGGAAGUCCUACCGUCAAGACCAUGAUUCCAAGGUCUCAUGGCAUAUGAAAGAAUGAUUUGAACUAUGUGAUAUGAUAUGUGUAAUAUGUUAUGUGUUAUUUGUAAAAUGAUUAGUAUGAUGAUGCAUGCUAGUCUCAUGGCAUGACUUUCCUAAUUCGAAAUUGGCAAGUCCACUGAGUUGACUUUCCAUAAUUCAUAUCGAUAGGAGAGAGAUCUUCUUAAUCAUGCAUGUCCUUGGUGUCUUCUUGCAUAUACCCAUACUUGGUACAAUUGUGUACUAAUCCCAUACAAUUCUAUACUUUUUGGUGCAGGCACAGGCGGACGCGAUAGCUUACAGUACGAUGUUACAACUAUCCGGACGUAGAGCAUUCAUCCGUAUUCAGCAGGCCCUCAUGCUUUUGAGGAUGCUUGCCCAUUAUAUUCUAGCUUAGAUAUAGAAUUGAGUUAGUAGAGUAUGUUCCACUAGCAUUUCUUUGUUAUCUUAUUUCAGACAUUGUAUUGGUGCCAUUUUGGUAAGUAUACACUUAAAUGGAGUUUGGAACUAUUUCAUUUAUUUGAUGAUCUUAAUAUUAGAAUGGUUAUUUUGAACGUUUAUGAUUUUAAGUAGAAUGUCUUAAAUGAAUGUUAAGUAACAGAAGUUUCAAAUUUUCCGCUAAAUUAACCUAGAUGAAGUAACGAUGAUGUAUGUAGGCUUGUCUGCGACCUCUGAGAGGUCAACGACGCCGGUUUCGUCUGGGUUCUAGAAUACGGUCAUGACAAAGUUGGUAUCUGAGCAUUUGGUUAAAUUCUGAGAAUAAUAAAUUCACAUCAACCACAUCAAGUUGUUUCUAAGUCAUGGUAGUGAAGUGCACCACUAUCCUGAAUUAGAGACUGCAUGAUGCAUAGGAAAAUUCCCUUCUUCUGAUCUUAUAAUGCCUUAUAUAAUGUCUGGUUUCUUGGUGUUAAAAGCAUAUCUAACAUCAACUCUUGAGAUUGGAGGAGCAGCUGAAGUAAACCAAGUUCCUCCCCAGGCCUCAGUUGCUGAAAUGGAGAUGCUUGUUUUUCUAUCUGGGUUGACAGAUGGAGAAGUAAGGACAAACGUGGUGUAGAUGGCCCAAGCCAUCACCUUACAAGCUCAGGCUAUGACAGCCCAGGAAGAGCAACAAGGUGUUCCUAGGAAGAACCCACCUACCAGCACCAUGGAUACUAGGUUAAGGGACUUCAUGAGGAUGAAUCCUCCCAUUUACACUGGAUCAAAAACUGUUGAGGAUAUUGAGGAGGAGUGUAAGGCAUCUAUGUUGCAUGAUAGCAUGGACCUUUCCAGGCUUAUGGUCCAUGUCCACCAAGUGGAGGAAAGUAGGAAGAGGAAGCACACUAGGGCAGGGAACAUGUCAAGGCAAGUUGAGGAGAAUUUUUCAAGGAAGAUUAAAACUGCAAUCAGAGAUAAGCCCAGGUUUAUAAAGGAACUUUUCCACCAAAGGGAGUCAAGUUCAUUCAAGGGUCGCUAUGAUAGGAAUUUCGAGCCUAGAGUUAAGAGAAACAUUGAAGUAGAUAAACUUCAGGAGAGGCCACUAUGUAAGAAGUGUGACAAACUGCAUGGAGGAGAGUGUAUAAUGGUUUCGUAUCCAUUGCGUCUCCAUUGACUACUUUUACCCUAAAAAGUAAAAAGUUUGAGUGGUCGGAGGUAUGUGAUACGAUCUUCCAAUUGUUGAAAGAUAGGCUUACUUCCGCUCCGGUGUUAACCUUACCGGAGGGUACAAAGAGUUUUGUGUUGUAUUGUGACGCAUACCGAGUGGGUUCAGGGAGUGUGCUUAUGCAAAGCAGGAAGGUGAUAGCUUAUGAAUCUAGGAUACUAAAGGUACUGGAGACAAAUUACCCACUCAUGACCUUGAAUUAGCGGCCGUGAUGUUUGAUUUAAAAAUUUGGAGGCAUUACUUGUAUGGGGUUCAUGUGGAUGUUUUUACCGAUCAUAAGGGUCUCAAAUAUGUGUUUACCCAAAAGGAGUUAAAUAUCCAACAAAGAAGGUGGCUUUAUUUGUUGAAAGAUCAUGAUAUGAGUGUCCUUUAUCACCCCGGCAAGGAUAAUGUAGUUGCGAAUGCCCUAAGUCGGAUGAUUAUGGGUAGUGUAUCACAUCUUGAUGAAGCCAAAAAGGACCUAGCAAGGGAAGUGCAUAAGUCUGCUAGGUUGGGGCUGAGGUCGGAGAGUUCUCCGGAUGGGGGUGCCCUUGUUCAUCAUAAUUCUGAGUCAUCUUUAGUGGUUGAGGUGAAGUCUAAACAACACCUUGAUUUAGCCUUGAUGGAGUUGAGCAAAACAGUUCUUGGCAAGUUGAAUGAAUCAUUCUCCUUAGGAGGGAUGGUGUAUUAAGGUACCAAGGGAGAUUAUGUGUUGAUGUAGAUGGGUUGAGGAUAGGAUCUUAGAAGAAGCACAUGGGUCCCACUACUCAAUUCAUCCAGGGUCGCCAAAAAUGUAGCAUGACCUAAGUGAAAUAUAGUGGCGGGAAGGUCUAAAAAGGGACAUAACAAAAUUUGUCGCUAAGUGUCCGAAUUGCCAACAAGUAAAGGCCGAACACCUUAGGCCGGGUGGCUUACUACAAGAGAUGCAAAUUCCGACUUGGAAGUGGGAAGACAUCAAUAUGGACUUUGUAGUAGGUUUACCCUGGACCCAAAAGUCCUAUGAUUCUAUAUGGGUGGUUGUGGAUUGAUUGACUAAAUUCUAUCUCUUUAUUUCCAUCAAGUCUUCAUAUUUGGCGGACGAUUAUGCAAGAAUCUUCCUAGAUGAGAUUGUGUGCCGCAAUGGCAUUCCAUUAUCCAUUAAGUCGGAUCGGGGCGCACAAUUCAGAUCUAGAUUUUGGAGGUCGUUUUGAAAAAGGGUUAGGUACUAUGGUGAAGUUGAGCACCACUUUUCAUCCCUAAAUGGAUGGUCUAGCGGAGUGUACGGUAAUAACCCUUGAAGAUAUUCUUAGUGACUGUAUUACUGAUUUUAAAGGGAGUUAGGAUAGGCAUUUACCUUUAGUGGAGUUUUCCUAAAACAAUAGUUUUCAUUCAUCCAUUUACAUGGCUCCCUAUGAAGCCUUGUAUGGUAGGAGAUGUAGGUCUCCUAUUGGAUGGUUUGGAGUAGGUGAGCCAUCGCUUCUUGGUCCCAAGUUGAUUUAUAAGACUUUAGAAAAGGUUCAUAUCAUAAGGAACCGGUCGCAAACGGCCUAUAGUCAGCAAAAGUUUUAUGCCGAUAAUAGGAGAAGGGAUUUGGAGUUUGAAGAAGGUGAUAAGGUGUAUUUGAAAAUUUCAGCAAUCGAAAGGGUGGUUAGAUUUAGCAAGAAAGUGAAAUUGAGUCCUCAUUAUGUGGGUCCCUAUGAAAUCAUGCAAAGGGUUAGUAAGGUUUCCUAUGAAUUGAAACUUCCUAAUGAAUUAGCUUCGGUUCAUCCGGUUUUCCAUGUUUCUAUGUUAAAAAAGUAUAUCUGUGAUCCCGAGUCCAUUCUUCCUAUUGAGGGUCUUGCGUCAAGGAUAACCUUUCUUAUGAGGAAGUUUCGAUUCAAAUUCUUGAUAGGCAAGUCAAGAAGUUAAGGAAUAAAAAGGUUGUAUCCGUAAAAGUGUUAUGGAAAAAACAAUUAGUUGAGGGUGCUAGAUGUGAGGCCGAGGCUGAUAUGAAGUCCCGUUGUCCUCAUCUUUUUGAGAAUUAAGGUUAGACGUUCUUUUUUAAUUAUAUAAUUAUGACUAGGAUAUGCGGUUUCUUUAUUUUUGGUGAAGUGGUACAAAAUGUAAUUUUUGAAAACUCACAGUAAGUUUUACAGUGAAGUCACUAUAGUAUUGCUAUUAAAAACUUGAAAUUUUUCUUUUUGCUUGCUUUGAGUUAUUUAUGCAUUUUGAUAUGAUGAGUCUUCAUGAAAUGAUAGGUUGCAUGUUGUUAAGUUGAACUUUAUGCUACUUGACUCAUAUAAUGUAUGUUGAACUCAUAAGUGUUGUGAGAAGGAAAUGCCUCAUGAUGAAGUGUUUUGAGAUUUAUGUAUAGUAAUAUGAGUUUUGAUAUUUGCCUUGUUGAAAUGUCAUGAUUUAUGUUGAUUUGAUAUUGUUGAUUGGUUGGGAUGAUCGUCUUGGGUCUAUUCCUUCCUUCAAAAGAAUUUUAAUGUCAUUCGGGGACAAAUGUUCCUAAGGGGGGAUAAUGUAACACCUUAAGACUCAUUGUAAAGCCUGACAUAGGUGUCAUAAAGUCUAAACAUUGUUUUUAAGUCCAUUUUAAUUAAUAUAGAUCAUUUAGGAGGUUUAAGAACCAAAACGUCCAAAACAUCCGGGAAGUUGGUUCAAAGGGAUGUUAGUGUGCCUUAGCCUUUUUGACUAACUUAUAGGAGUCAGAAAUAAAUGAAAAUGGGUGGAAAGGUAGCUAAUGGCUUUUUGAGUUGUUCCAUGGUUGAAACGUCUGGGUACGACUUCCGAAGGACCAGCCAAGGGACCUUGAGGAGGACCCCUACAGUUUGAUGCAACACUACCCAGCAGUGUGCAUCGACGGGGCACACGAUGGCUCGUGUGUGGAUUGUCGGGGCGUCGAUGCUACCUCCGUCCCACAUUUAGGCUGGCGGAGAAGGUCUUUUCUCCUGCACAGAUUCUAGAAUCAUCGACGGAAUACGGAGGUGCAGGCUACGGUCCAUGUGUGGAUCGAUGGGGCGUCGAUGCCACCAUCGUCCCACACUUAGAAAGAUAAAGAAAAACUCAGCCUACACCAGCCUCUGACCAAGCUUAUGUAUGGGCUUCACGGACCAUCAAUGGACCAACGGUCCGUCUAUCGAGGUCUGCAAAUUCCGGCAUGUUUUCAAUUAAAUUCAUUGAAUUAAUUAAGUGGUUUAGGGGCAAUAGCGAAUUAAAGUAAUACUAAUUAAGUGUUUUUAGUCCCACCACAAAUAUCCUCAGCCCUCAUUAACCUAAAUACAACUCUCAAAAUAAACUCUCUUCCUUCUCUCUUAUUUCUCUCUGUACGUGAACUCACCAUUGAAGGCUAGCAAGAACUACGGUUUAGGGGAUGGAAAGGGACGAAUUCACCAUUAGAUUGUUGACAGAUCAUUAAGGUAUGAGUUCUAUUCACCUUUGAGAUCCUUUCCUCAAAGGGUUCCUUCAAAAUAUAUUUCAAAAAGUUGAGUCUUCUUAUGGGUUUCAUCCAAUUACGAAAUUGAAGUUAUGGAUUGAGUUGUUAAUGAAUUCAUAGGGUUAUAUUGAGUAUAUUAACAUGUAAUUCAACUUUUCUGUGUUAAUUGUUGAUGAUUUGGUCCAAAUUCAAGAAUAUGAUCCUCUAUCCCUAACCCUAGGUAGUGAUAUUGACCUAUAUUGAAUUGUGAUCAUUCAAUUGCGUUGGUUGUUGAUUUGAUUACUAUCCUAUGGUGAUAUUAUGAUUAAAUUAAUAUGAAUUAUAGGACUAUCAUGUUAGUUUUUGAGAUGUUAUUUUGGUUAUGAAUUAUAAUGUGAAAUUAGCCUAUGUACCUUGUCUCAAGUUGUGAUCUAAAGAUGAAUUGUGUUAUAGAGAUGCAAUUGACUUUGUUAUUCUAUUGGUUAUCAUUGUGUGAUGAUGUUACUCCCCAAGUUGGGUUAAGUUAGGGGUUGAUGGUAAGAACUUGAUGAUAGACUAUGAGGAAGACUUGGUAAGUCUUAGAAUCUCUAUCUUUACUUCCAAUUGUGAUUAAUUGUUGUAAAGUCAUGAUAUUAACUUUGGAGCAUGCCUUAUACUUGGAUUAUAGGAUGGUAUGAUGUUGAAUUGAAAUGUCUUGACUAUAUUGUAAGGUUGAUUAAGGUGUAUGUUCUAUAAGGAUGGUUAAAACUAUAAAUAUGCCUUAAUAUGUUAUGAAAUGCAAAAUUUUUAACCUCACUUAUAUGAAUUGUAAUGAAAGGACUUAUACUCAUACAAUUCUUAUUGAGCUAUUGAUGAUGAUGAUUAUACAAGGGGUAGACCCUAUGGUCUUAAUAUGGUUAUGAUUGAUAAUUAAGGGCUUAAAGACAUUUCAAUAAAGGGACUUAGCUUAGCAUCGAGUGAACUUGACAUUAGGAGGUGAUGAAUUUCCAUAGAGAAAGUGUUACCCUAUAGAUCUAUAAGUGAUAUUCACUCCCCUUUGAGGUAUACUCAUCAAAUGAUUCCCAUGAGGUGAGGCUCCAAUUACUAAAUGGUAUGUAGUGGGAAUACCUAUCUCUUAGUUCCUUAAACUAUGUUGCCACCAUAGGAUACUAGCUAAGUGAUCCACCUAGAAAGCUAUGUUUAAAUGAGGUUUUACCUUGGCCGGUAGAUCACCUUCCAUCGGUGUAAUGUUUUAUGACAUCGGAUUCCACAUUUAAAUGAUGUGGUUUAUGUCGGUUAAAGAGAGUGUUCCCUAAACUAAAAUUAAAGAAUGAAGCAUAGCUAACUAAAGUAACUUGAUGGGUUUGACUUACCCUAGGUAGGGGUAUGAGACUGUAUAUAUGCCUUGCACUAGUUUGCCUUGAUGGGAGCUUUGGGAAGUUAAUAUUAUGUAUAUGGAUGGUGCUAAAUGUAAACGUUUUUAUAUGAUGAUUAUGAUGAUUAUCACCAUGCAAAUGGUCUUUAUGUUAUUAAUUACUAAAGAUAUGAAUUUAUGAAUAUAUGAGGUUAUAUUGUGUGAAGUAUGAUACUAAUUAUAGUUCUUGUUGGGUGACUUGAUUAAAUAGGGUUAUGGGUCUUUACUUUAUCAUUGCACUUGUUAACUCUAUGGGAAUUUAUGGUUUGUUACGUUACUUUGCUAUUUAUGUGAUUACUCUUAUUCAUGCUUGUGAUGAUAUUACUUGGUAAUCGAGUAUACGAUAUUAUGGGUUCAAGCGUGUUGAUAUACAUUUGACUUCCUUAAAUAUUGGUUGUGCAUAAGAUGAUACUUAGUACAUGUUGAGUACUAGACCCAUUUUCUUCCCUUUUUCCCCAAACAUUUUAGGUUCCGGUCGUUUAAGAGUUUUGGGAGGCGUCAUUGUUGAAGACUUGGAUUCUUCCUCUCAUCCAAGUAGGGUAGGUCCUCAACUCUUGAAGGCAUUGCCAUCCUCUAGCUUUGGAUUUUGUUAUGAGCUUAUUGACUCUAUCAUUCCUUUCCUUGUUAUUUGAAUAUUUUACUUUUUUACGACCUAUACAUGGUCUUAUUGAAUUGAUGUAAGGGCUAUGCCCACAUUGUGAUAUUUGUUUAGAUGGUAUGAGAUGAGACAAUCAUUAAUACUUUAAUCCAUAUUCUUAUAUAUAUAUGCAAUAAAAGUAGAAUGCUAUAAAACCUUCCUAUAUGAAGGGUCUAUGUAUACUCGGUAUGAAUAUAUAUUAUGUGUACAUAGAGAUCUAUGUAAACCUCCAAGUAGUGAUAAUAAAUGUUUUAAAUUUUUCCGCAUUUUCAACAUAUGAAUGUAAUGACAUAAAACUAAGAGGCUAGUCUUAGUCCUUCAAAAGUACGAUGACGCCGGUUAUGUCUAGGGGGUAAACCCGGAUGUGACAAGAAUGAUCUUGAAAUCUUGCUUUUAAGCCAUGACACAAGAUAGAUGAAUAUCAACGUGAAUUUCAUUGACUGUACCUUUUUAGCUUAGUAUAUUAUGAACUCAUGUACUCAAGGCUCUCUUUUUGUGUGCAUGAUCCUUAGCUUUGCACCUCUUAAUUUAUUGGUCAACCACGUACGAUGCUUAUGAAGAUGAAUUCACUCAUUUUUGUUUUGUAUCUUUAUAAUAUUGCCAAUACCCCUGGUGUAACAACUGAUAUUUUCCAAAUGGACAAGGUUUCCUUCAAAUGAAGUUUUGGAAUAUCGAAAUUGGAGCAGUAAUGAAAAAUAGAGUUGUCAAGUUAAAGGUCAUUGAAAUUGAUGACAAAGAAUCAAUAAAUACUGCACUAUCAUUAGUAGUGCAUGUUUUUCGCAAAAAAAAUCUCCAUUAAAAGAUACAAUUGAAACAAUACCACCAUUUAUAAAGGGAAAUAACGAUGAUAUCAAACUUUUUUUUGAAUUUGAAAUUUGGUAGACAACUGGCUUCUUAAUCUUUUGCGGAUCUAAAAUUGAAAGGGUAUACAUAUUCUCCAUCCUCAUUGAAGAUAGAUGAAAUGUUGAAAUAAUAUUCGAGCAUGUGACAAUCAAUGGAAUUUCCACUGUACUUGAGUUAAAAUAUAAAAAAGGCUCAUCUUCUUAGGUGAUUGGAUUGUUUUCUACACUAGAAAAUGUAGUACUCUUCAUAUCGUCUUUAGCUAGUAAUUGUGAAAGAUUUUGUUAUCUUCUGUAGACUCUGAUGAUAAGAGUAUAACCUUAGCUGAAAACAUAAACGCCACAAAAAUUGUAAUAAUCGGACAUAAUUAAUUAUCUUGCAUCACAUACGAGGAGAUUGUCUUCAAGUAACUUGUAUUCGCCUUCAUAAAUACACAUUAUAAUCAGUCCUAUAGUAUAUAGUUUGAAGAAAAGUAAACUUUUAAAAUUAUAAAUAUUUUACGCAGUACACACGAUAGUUGGUGAUGAACUGAAUCAAGUAAAAUACGAUAUCGAAAUACUAAUACAAACUCAUCAACUCGGUGUUAGUUGAUUGCAUUUACAUCAUAGAUGAAGAAGUUUUUUCAUCUCUACUAACUUGUCAUGAUAAAUCUUUAAAUUCACUAAACAAUCAUAUACACUUUCAAACCUUAUACACUCCUCAAUGUCAAAUUAUUCAGGGUCAAUUAGACAACUUUUAUGUAUGUUAAUAUCAAUUAUUAUUCCAAUAUCUACAAAAAAAGCUCUCUUAGAUCUUCAAAAAUACAUCCAACCAAAGCUAAAUAACUUAUAAAACAAAGAAAAGGAACAACUUCACAAAAAAAUUAAUCUAAACACCUCAAUCUCGUCAUCCAAGCACUGAUAAACAAUUUGCAGCUAUAUAGAUUCUCUUGUAUCAUACACUUCCAUUUCAAUCAAAAGAUAAACUACGCGAAGUAUAAAGUCAUAUACAUCCUCAAAUACUCAUCCAAAUCAAAGUUAAUACAAAUAAAAAUUCAGUGAAUCGUAUAAACAACUUUAUUUGCCUUUCAAAAAAAUUUCUUCUUGAUUUAGUCACAACAUGUAGAUACCCUUCUCCGAAAGAUCCAUACAUAGUUUCCAUCCCUCUUUCCUAGUCCGUAUAAGCUUGCUUAUAUGGUAAGUUAUUGUAACAGCUCGUAACUUGAAAUAACUAAGAUUAAGCUAAGAAACAAAGAAUAAUCAUUUUUGGAAAUAAAAAGAGAAAUCUGGAAAAUUUCAAGAUUUUAAUUUUCCAGAUUUUAAAAGUGAGUUUUUUGUUAUUUUCAAACGGUCAUAACUUCCAACUUUGGGUUCGACAAAAUUGUACCAUGAAUUUAGGGAAGUAUUUGGUGGGAAGGUUUGAAGAAGGACAUAGCAGAGUUUGUUGCUAAGUGUCCAAAUUGCCAACAAGUGACAGCCGAACAUCAAAAGUCGAGUGACUUACUACAAGAAAUUCAAGUUCCUACUUGGAAGUGAGAAGACAUCAACAUGGAUUUUGUAGUGGGUUUACGUAGGACUCAAAGGCAAUAUGACUCUAUAUGGGUGGCUGUGGAUAUGUUGACCAAGUUCGCUCACUUUAUUCCCAUCAAGUAUACUUAUUCGGCGGAAUAUUAUGUUAGUAUCGUCAUAGAUGAGAUUGUAUGUCACCAUGGUAUUCCUUUAUCCAUCAUAUCAAAUCGGGGUUCACAAUUCACAUCUAGGUUUUAGAGGUCAUUCCAAGGAGGGUUGGUUACUAAUGUGAAGUUGAGUACCGCUAUUCAUCCCGAAAUGGAUGGACAAGAAGAUCGUACUAUUCAAACCCUUAAGGAUAUGCGUCGGGCUUGUAUUAUUGAUUUUAAGGGAAAUUGGGAUAAGCGUUUACCUUUGGUGGAGUUUUCUUAUAAUAAUGGUUUUCAUUCAUCCAUCUCCAUGGCUCUCUAUGAACCCUUGUAUGGUAGGAGGUAUAGGUCUCCUAUUGGAUGGUUUGAAGUGGGUGAGUCUUCGCUUCUUGGUCCUGAUUUAAUUUUUAAUACUUUGGAGAAAGUUCAUAUCAUAAGGAACCGGUUAAAAACGGCCUAUUGUCGGCAAAAGUCUUAUGCCGAUCACAGGAUAAUGGAUUUGGAGUUUGAAGAAGGUGAUAAGGUGUAUUUAAAAAUUUCACCUAUGAAAGGGGUGGUUAGAUUUUGCAAGGAAUGGAAGUUGAGUCCUUGUUAUGUGGGUCCCUAUGAAAUCUUGCAAAGGGUUGGUAAGGUUGCCUAUGAAUUAAAACUUCCUAUUGAAUAGGCUUCGGUUCAUCCGGGUUUUCUAUGUUUCCAUGCUUAAAAAGUGUAUUGGUGAUCCCGAGUCUAUUCUUCCUAUUGAGGGUCUUGGUGUGAGGGAUAAUCUCUUUUAUGAGGAAGCUCCGGUUCAAAUUCUUGAUAGACAAGUCAAGAAGUUAAGGAAUAAAUGGAAGAAUCAACUAGUUGAGGGUGCAACAUGGGAGGCCGAGGCCGACAUGAAGUCCCAUUACCCUUAUAUUUUUGAUAACUAAGUUAGUAAUUCUUCCUAAUAAUGAAAAUAAUGACUAAAAUUUAAGUUGCUUUGAUUUUGGUGAAGUCUUGCAAAAUGUGCAUUUUUUAAUUGCUUUGUAGUGACUUAUAGUGAAGUUGUGCGUUUGAACUUGAAAUUUUUCUCUUUGGAUUGUUUGAUUUAUAUUGUGCAUUUUGAUAUGGUGAGUCUUUACGAAAUGAUAUGUAGCAUGUUGGUAAGUUGAACUUCGACAUAAUUGACUCAUAAAUGCUAUGUUGAGCUCUUUUUGUUGUGAGAGGGAUAUUCCUCAUAAUGUAGUGUUGAUCCUUAUGUGUGGUAAUUGAAGUUUUGAAUUGCCUUGUAUAUGAAAUAUGGUUGAUGUUGUUAUAUAUUGUUGUUGGUUAGGCUGCUAGUCUUGAGUCUAUUCCUUCCUUCUAAAAUUUUUUAGUGUCAUUCGGGGACGAAUGUUCCUAAGAAGGGGAUAAUGUAACAUUUUGAAAAAUCCAAGACGUUUUUUAAUCCUAACAUAAGUUUCAUAAGGUCUAGACAUUGUUUUAAGGCCUAUUUUAAUGAAUACAGGUCAUUUAGGAAGUCUAGAAAUCAAAAUGUCCAUGAGUUCAAGGAGGUACUAGAGUGCCUUAGCCUAUUUGGCUAGCUUUUAGGAUUCAGAAAAUGGUGAAAAUUGGUGAAAGGGUGUCUAACAUGUGUUUAAGUAUAUUCAUGGUCGAAACAUUCGGUACGACUCCCCAUGGACCAACUAAGGGCAUUUGAGGAGGACCCUUUCAAGUACUGCCUGGCAGUGUGCACCCACGAGAGGGAAUCGAUGAGGCGUGUGUGGAUCGAUAGGGCGUCACUUCCAUACAUCGAUCAACACCUGGGAAAAUCCUUGAAGGACCCCGAUUGCAUAGUCUAUGAAUCAAACGGCAGAUGUGCAUCAUGAAAGGGCACAGUGACCAUCGAAUCACACAUGGACCGUCGAUCGGGGUCUUGUCUGUGAUAGUCCAUUUUCCCGCACGUUUUAAAGUUAGUAUUAACUAAUUAGUUAAAGGGUUCGGUGGUUAGUUAAGUAUUAACGGAAGAAUAAUUAACUUAAUUAAUGCCCCAUAUAAAAACCCCAACCCCAUUAGUCUAAUUACAAAUCUCAAAAAAAAGAUUCUCUUCCUUCUCUCUUCUUUCUCUCUCUGUUGGAAGACGCCACUGAAGACUAGGUAGGGAAGGGAUUCGGGUGCAGUAGAGGGAUGAUUUCACCAUCUGUUCUUCAUUGAACAUUAUGGUAUGGUAUAUAAUUCACCUUUGAGACCUCUUUCCUCAAAGGGUUCCUUCAAAGUAUUUUCAAAAGUUGAGUUUUCAUGUGGGUCUUUCUCAAUAUAAUAAAUUAUGUUAUGAAUUUGGUUGUUUUUGUUUUGUAGUGUACAAGAAGGUCUUUGCCGAUUCCUAUCAACAUGGUGCAUCUCUUAGUAGAGGGGCGUGAAAAGUGGAGACUUUUGAUAAAUAUGUAUUAUAACCUAAUUAUGAUAUGUCUUGAUGGUUUGGUCUAGUUUGUAAAUGAUGACCCUUAACCCUAGGUUUGAUCUUUACAUGAAUUAGGUUGUAUUUGGUUCAAUUAACUUGGUUAUUGGUUGAAUUUCUAUUAAAUGAUGUUGUUACACUAAUCAUGAACAAAAUUAGGGUGAUUGUUAGUCUUUCAUGCUAGUUCUUGAGAAGGUGAUCUAUGUUAGAAAGUAUGUUGUGAAUUGACCUAAGUAUCUUGUCUUAAGCUAUGAUCUAGUAUUGAAUUGUGAUGUAGUGAUUCUUCUAGUCUUGUUAUCAUGUUGAUUAUUGACUUAUGGGGUGUGUACCCAAAAUUUGGUUGAAUUGGGUUUAUGGUAAGACCUUGAUGAUGAACAAUGAAGGAUACUUGGUAAGUCUUAUGAUCUCUAUCCUUUACUUCAAAAUAUGGUUAAUUGUGAUUAAGCCAUGAUGUUGUAUUGGAGUAUGCGUUGUAUUAGGAUUGAUAGGGCAGUAUGAUGUUGAAUUGAAAUGUCUUGAUUAUGAUUGUGAGGUGUGGGUUUAAGAUGUAAAUUUUAUAAGGAGGGUGAAUGAUUUACCAAUGUGUCUUAUCAUGAUAUGAAAUGUUAAUGUGCUAAAUCACCUAUAUGAAUUGUAAUGGAAGGACUUAUACUCAUGCAAUUCUUAUUGAGCUAUGAUGAUGAUACUUAUACUUAGCACCGAGUGAACUAGAGUGAGGAGUGUCCCUUCCCACUUAGGGAAGGUAGGAUCACUAAUGUACUCUUGAGAUUAGAGACUAUAAUGCAUGUAGCUUAAAGAUGGUCCCAACUAUAUCUCCUAGUUCUUGAAGUAUGUUUCCCCCAUAGAAAUACUAGCUAGUGGAUCCACGUAGUUGCUAUGUUUCAUGUUUUGGUGUUACCUUGGCAAGUAGUCUGCCUUCCUUCGGUGUAGGGUUUUUUGACACCGGGUUCCACAUUAGAUCAUAUGGUUUAUGUCGGUUAGGGCAAGAUGUUCCCAAAAGGUAAAAUGAACUAACGGAUUGAACUCUAAGUAUGAUAACCUAGGGUCUAGCUUAGUCUAGGUAGGGGUAUGAGACUCUACCUAAGCAUUGCACUAGUUAUCCUUUAGAGGGUCUUAGGAAGAUGUUCUUAUGUAUGAUUAUGCUUAUAAUAUUAUAUGACAUGUAUAUGAUGAACUUGUACAUUGUUUAUACUAUAUGUUGAUUAGUUCACUUAGGAUAUGUGUUGGUUUAUAUGGUUAACAUAAGAUGAUAUGUACACCUAAAUGCCAUAUUAUGUGAAGUAGGGUGUUAGUUAUGAUUCUUAUUGAGUUACUUGAUAAAGUAAGAUUAUGGGGCUUUGCUUGGUCAUUACACUUGUUGACUUGAUAGGGUUCAUGGGUAUUUGUCUUUCUUUGGAUAUAAUGAAAUGUACUCUUAUUCAUGCUUAUUAUUAACAUGACAUGAUGGUAGAAUUACUUGAGUACGUAUCUACUUAUAUGAUAUGUAUGGUUGACUUGACUAGACUUGAUGUUGUACUUCUUGUAAUGUACAUGCCUAUGACUUAAUGAAUAUACAAUAUUGAUUGGUAUGGUCUUGUUGAAUGUGCAUAAAGGUUUUAAAUGAAAAGUGCAUACUUUAUGAAAUGUCUUUUUUUCUUAGCAUGAUUUCAAAGUAUGUGUGCAUAUGGUGUCAUACUUAGUACAAUUGGUGUACUAACCCCAUUUCUUCCUUUCCCCCCAACAUUUUAGGCUCCGGUCGUUAAAGUGUUUUUGAAGGCGACUUCAAGAAGGCUUUGAUCUUUUCAUCAUCUAAGUAGGGUAGGUACUUAUUUUUUGAGGGCGAUGCCAAUAUCGAGCUUAUCAUGUUAUUUUAUUUCUUAGACUCUUAUGUUCUAUCUCCUUUCAUUUGAGUACGUAUUAUAUAAAGCCUAUAUGUGGCUCUCUUUCUAUUGAUGUAUUGGAUAUGCCCAAAUUUCUAAUCAUGUUAGAUGGUUAUGAGAUGAGAAAAUCUUUGAAGAAUAUGUUCUUUCUUAUAAAUAUAUUUAUGUUCAAUAAGAGUAGAAGGCUAUACAACCUUCCUAUAUGAAGGAUCUAUGUAUAUUCGAUAUAUAUAUAUAUAUAUAUAUAUGAUAUGUGUAUGUAUAGGUCUAUGUAAACCUCCAAAUAAAAAUAAUAAAAAGUUUUGAAUUCUCUGCUAAAUUUGACCUAUGAAUGUAAUGAUGUAAACUAAUAGGCUAUUCUUAGUCCGCAAAUAGGUUGAUGACGCCGGUUAUGUCUAGGGGGUAAACUGGGAUGUGACACAUGUAAAACCUAAAAUCUUCAAAUUUGCUAUAUUAUGGGUGUUAUGAUCAUGUCUCAAUGCUUGUGAAAUCUAGUGUAGUUUUCCUUGGGCUAUUGAAUGAUGUAACAAUUGUAUUAUAUUGAUGUAUAAGCAGUCUUAGAUUGAUAAAUCUAUGUUGAAUUGAUGAUCAUGGCCAUGGGUAAGGGCUUUUGGUAUGGUAUUGGAUGAUUUGGUAUGGAUUGAAGUGAUGAGAAUAGAUUGGUGGCACGCUGCCCUAAAUCUUUUAUAAUUAUGUAAAUAAGGUCUUGAAUUAUGUUGUGAUUAGUAUGAUCCACUUGUGGUGGCGGUGCUAUGUGAUUUACUUGUAACUAAUGUGACCUCGUCAGCGUCACUUUAUGUAUUAUAAUAAUCAUGGCCUUGUCGAGAAAUUACUCGACAUAUUAUGAUGGUUUGUGUAGUUGAUCUAUGUGAAGUAUGAACAUAUAUAUCUACAUGUGAUUAAGGUGAAAAUAUGUGUUCUCUAUUGAUGUUGUUAGGUGAUUAUGUUAGACUAUGACUAUGUCUUUAUGUGUGUAGUCUUAGAGUGGAUGCAUGAUUCUUCCUGAUUGACUAUGUGAUCCUUAUGAUGGUUAUAUUGAUGAUAUUAUAGAAGUAUGCAUGAUGACUAGUAAGUAUGCUUAGUUGACCCUAUGUGCUUCUAGAAUAAUAUGUUAUAUGUGAAGUAUGUUGUGUCUUGUUCUGGUAGACUUGUGUCCAUUACUUGAUACAUGUAUAAUGAGAGUAUUACUUAUUGACUUAGGAUGAUAAAGCUCUUAGGCUUGUAUGUAUGAAUGAUAUGUGACCUUUAAUGUUGUUAAGAAGGUCCAUUAUGUGGAGCCUUCAACCUAGUUAUAAGGUUAUGAUAUCCUUGAAGUCGAAAGUCGUAAUGGUAUCCUUGUGUGAAUGGUGGACGUAGGGAUUGAUUGGCUGUAACAACAUGAAAUCAUCCUUAGAAAAAUCAUUUAGCUAUCCUUUUAACCAUUGUAAGGCAGCCCUAGGGGACUUCUUUGCUAAGGUAUAAUGUGAUUGGGUUAUCAACUAGAUAUGGAACAUGUUCAUGUAUUCCUUUAUUGAAAUAGUAUGUAAGAACAAAGGCUAGCACCGAGUAAGUAUGCAUGGGUAGUAGCUCUAGUUAAGUAUGAGACUAGAGUACAAAGGAACCUUCGAUAUUCCUUAACAAUUUGCCUAUAUGGGAUGUGUCAAGUUCUACCAUUGGCAACUAGAAAACCCUUUUUUAGAGUAGGUUACAACUCCAGAUUCCAUGUUUAGCUACCAUGGUCUAUGUGUGUUAUUGCUUAUUCUCAUAAUAUGGGAUACCCACUAGUAUUUGAGAAGUUCUAUGAAGUUUAGGUGUUGGUAUGGGACGCUAUCUAGACAUUGCACAAUAGGCUUUGAAGAUGUUACUUAGAUAGUCCCUAGGUCUUCUCCAAGACCAUUACUUGAGUUUCCUUAUGUGAUGAAUGUCUCUUGAAUGAACUAAUGAAUUAAGUUGGAAAGUAUGUUAAUGACUAAGUACUUACCUAGAGUAUUUUAAGGGUUGCUUAGUUAAGGUAUGAAGGGGGCAUAGGAAUGGUUAAGAAUGACUCUAGAUAGGGAAAAUAAUCUUGAAUAAGUAGACAUGAUCUAAACUUAGGUAGUCUUAAGGAUUAUUUAGGUAAGCUUGGAGAGGGUGUAUGGAUGUUCUCUUCUUGCAUUACUUAAGUAACUCUUCUGGAUAACCUUUGGAAAGAGAAUUCCAUAUUAUAUGUAUAUUAUUAUAUGAAGUGAGAAUGAUUCUAUGCUAGGUAAUCUAAAGGAUCCUUAGGUGUGUGUGAAGGGAUUGUAUGGGCGGUCGCUUCACAACUCACCCAAGUGAACCUUAGAAUCACCUUUGCUAGGAGGACCUCAUGUAUAUGUGGUUGGUGUAUUGUAAGUGUAUUUAUCUCAUUAUAGGUGGUCUUAAGGAUCAUUUAGGUGUGCCUAGAGAGGGUGUAUGAGUGGUCUCUCUUUGUCUUACUUAAGUGAGUCUAAAGAUAUCCUUUAGUGAGAGGGUUGUAUGCCAAAAUAAUUCACUGUAAGGUUGGGUUUAAUUCACUGUAAAGUGACUUAGUUCACUGUAAUGUUCCUUAAAAAGUUAGAAAAUGCCUAUGUGAUAUCUUGUGUGUGUCUAAGGUGUUAAAUGUUGUUUUUAUGCUUAUGAUGUGACGUUUUAAAUCAAAAAAAUGCAUAGUUCCAUUAAAUGUCUGUUUUCAUGAUUUUAUGCAUUAAGUCAUACUUAGUACAAGUGUUUGUAAUAAUUCCGUACAUUUUUUAUAUCUUAAGGUGUAGGUGUAAGGUGAGAAGGAUCUUGAAUAAAAGCUUGGAAUCUAAUUAUUGUUCAAGCAAGGUUGAAGUAUGUCCUCACUUGACAAAGGGCAUGAUCAUCUGUCUUUUAAAUUUAAAGUAUUGUAAUAUACUAAGUAAUUCUAUAUUCAUAUUGUAUGGUCCAUUUCUCAAGUAUACUUGAGUCUAAGAUUGACAUAUGUUGAGUCUUAGUGUUUUCUAUGAUUUUAAUAUGAAAGAUGUUUUAAGAUAUUUCGUGUGAAAAUUUUUAAUUUCGCACUACUUUCCACACAUGUAUGCGAUGAAUGAUGUUAAAAGGAUUGUACAAGAUCUCUGAGAGGUCAAGUACGCCAUUCCAUGACCUAAGAAUACCUUAACUUCUAGGGUAUACAUGCGGGUCGUGACACCAUGCGAUUCAAAAACAUCUCUUUCUCAAUCAGGAGAUUGUAAAAAGAAGAACCAAAUAACAAAACAACCUGUAGUUCAGAGCUCCACUCAGACUCCAACAACUUCUUAAUGUUUGUGCACUUUAAAAACAACUUUUCCUCUAAUCAGAAGGUUGUUUCUAACCCUUAUAAUGAAAUCAUCUCGACUAGAAAGUAACUCUAAGCCAUUUUAAGAACUCAAUUAGAAGUUAUGAAGAAAAUACAAAUUCCGAUGUGAAAAGGAGUAACUCUCAAACCAUAUAUAAUCGAAUAAUUAAGGAAUGAAAAGGCACAAAAAUAAAUUAAUAGAGUAAUACAAAUUUAAGACAUUACAGUUAUAUAUCAACUCUAAGCCAUUUUAAAAACUCAAUCAGAAGUUAUAUAAAAAAAAUGCAAAUUAUGAUAUGAAAAGUAGUAACUAUCAAACUACAGUUUCAAAUCAAGAAAAUAAAGGCAACUAUGAAAUUAUCUCGACCGAAAAGCAACUCUGAAAGGCAAUAAUAAGCCAUUGUAAGAACUCAAUUAAAAGGUACGUAGAAAAUCCAAAUUUGAUAUGAAAAGGAAGGAGAAACUAUCAAACUAUAUAUAAUCAAAGAAUUAGGGUACGAAAGAGAACAAAAAUAAAUUAACACUAUGACCCAGAGAUCAAUACAAAUCUAAGAGACUUGAUUGGCUUAAAUUACACCUCCUAAAGAAGCAUAAGAGAUUGUUAUCAAGUGAAGAACUCAACUAGUAGGUUGGGGUCGAUCCCAUCAAGAAAAUGAUUUAGACUUAACUUUAACCCACGAUAAUCUCUUUUUAGUCGAGGUAUUUCCGAAGCAAUUAAUAAGGGGGAGGGGGUUGUGAAACAAGUUCCUUCAAUUAUGUGAUUAUCAAGUGAACAAAAUAAAACUUUGGUUGUUAUCAAUAUGAGAAAAUAACUAGGGUAUGUGUGUUCCCCAUAAGUUCAUUGUUGACACCCAAUUUUGGCCUAUCAUUUUCAAAAUUCGUGACUUAAUUUAUUUAAUUGUUCAAAAUAAUUUAUUUAUUUAUUUUUUAUAAUUUUUAAUAAGUUUAUUGAUAACUAUCAUUAUUUCUCAAAUUUAGAAUUUUGUAUCAGUUAAUUUUAAAAUAACAUUGUUUACAUGUCAUUAGUUGCGUUCAUUAUAUUUUUUUAGUAAUCAUCUUAUUUGUUACAAUGGUUGAUAUUUAUUUUGAUAUUCUGCUCAGUCUAAGAAUUUUUUCAAAUAUAGAUAAAAUUUGCACCGAUAAUUUUGGACCACAAUUUCAAUCAUACACAUUUUAGCCCUCUUCCUUUUCCCACCUUUUCAACCCAAAAAACCCACCUCUAUUUAUUACCAUUUUCCAGCGCAACAACUACCCACUUAGCCCCUUUCCUUCACUCUUCCAGCAUCUAAAAACGACCAGACAAACACCAAAAUCCUCCGGCAACCUUCAAAUUGAACCCCGACCAGCCCACAUUUUUUCAAUAACCAACAGGUUACUAUCGUUCAACGCAACCAGUAGCUCUGAUGAAUCAGAGCUAAACAACAAAAAAUCCCUUCCCCUUCCCCUUAACAUUUUUUUUCAUUUUUUAGGUGUUUCCGGUCAAGCUCCGACCAACAAGCAACAACCAGCCCAUCCGAACAUCAGCGAACGUUCAACAACCAACCAAGAAGGCAUGGAAACAUGCCUGAGAAUUAGCCAGAUAUGUCCAGAAAAAGCUUUUAUUUGUGACAUUUCUCAUUUUUACUGUUUUGUAUAUAAGCAUAUAUGUCGGUAUAUUUCAUGUUUCUAUUAUAUAUAUAUAUUCCUUAUUUUUACACAUAUUAUUAUGGUGAAUUAUUUGUUUUUGUUUGUGGUUUUGAAUGUUAAUUUUAUCACUAUUUCUAACAGUUCGUUAAUUGUCUUGAUUGUUUUCAUAAGCCACUUUAUUAGUGUUCUCUUGUGAUAAAUUUUAGUUUUAACCGAAAGUUGUAUGAUGAGUCUGACUAUUACUAAUUUUGUUAAUGACUUUGGGUACAUGUAUUCCUGCUUUUAUCUUCUUGACAAAUAGUUUGAAUAUUUUAUGUGUUCAUGGGUUGUUGCUAUGUUAUUUUCUAAUUAUUGCCAUAUUAAAUAUUAUGUUGCAAUUGUCUUAAGACUUGGAAGGGAUUUAAUAGUAGUUUGAAUUUUGAUGAGUAUAUGUUAAUAGUAUUUUAUCAUUCUAUUUGUUGCUAUUUUAACUGUGUAUUGCUCCCUCUUAGUUCUAAUAUAUAUUAAAUUGUUAUUUUAUGUACAUCUUAUUUCUUUUUGAUUUAUUCUUUCCAUGUAUAACAAUUAAUAGAUUGUUCCUUUUUGCAUUGUUGACUAAUAGUAUCUUGCUCCAUUUGUUUUGUUACUAUUAGGUCUUAAUUCAUGUUUAUUAUUGAUUAUUUUAUCAUUUGUGAAUGGAUAUUUUAUUUGUUUAUUGUUGAUAAUGUUUAUAUCUUUGACUAUUUUAUUGUUUGUUAGCACCUGAAAAAAUCUCUCCGUCAAUUUUUUGGCCUUUUCAAUAUUAAAAGACGGAAAUUUAGUUUAAGUUCAUAUUAUUUAUUUUGCUAAAAUUGGUCGAUGAAGAAAUUACCAUCGAUUCUAAGGUCUCCCAUGUUAGUGAGACGAGUUUUAUUUUUAAGUUAUUAUUUGAGUUAUUCAUUUUUUUAUAUUCAUUUAGUACUAACUCUUUUACUAAGUGUCGUUACAAGUACACCAAGGUUCUUUCGAUCGAAGUUAUUCGAAUAAAUUCAAAUUAUAAUUGUAUUUAUUAUUGUAUAUAUUAUUUGCGAUAGAAAAACUUAGGCCAUUUCUUACUAUUGUUUUAUUUUAUUAUUUGUAUAUAUUGCAUUCUUAUUAUACUUGUUUAUAAUUUUGUUUCUUCCUCAAUUUUAAAAAUUGAAUUCAGUCGAGACCAUAUUUGUGGAUUUCGAAGGGUGGCUAACACCUUCACUUAAUUGUUUCUUAGUUUUUUUCUAAAAUUAGGUGGCGACUCCUUUAAAAUUCAUUUAUUUCUUAAAACUCUUUUAAAAUUGAAUCAAUUGAUAAUUUUUUGAGUCACCACGACGUUUCACCCUAUUUGAAUAGAAUAGGGAUGUAGAAGAAUGGAGACUCUGCUGGGGACAUAGAGGUUCUAACCAAUAUGAAUUCAUUUUUUCAAAUUGAGGAGUGUUUUCUUUUACUGUAUUAUACCUUAUAUUUUGUAUAUUUUGUUGAUUAUUUGUAUAUUGUAAUGGUUGUUUAUUCAUUAUUCAUUUAAUUGUAUACAUAUCAUCAUUGCAUUUCGUCACAUAAUUUCUGUCAAGUGACAAAUAGAAUACAUUAGGAUAAAAGCGAUUACGUGGUUUUCCACAACUGUCCUUCAAAAAAUCCCCUUUGAAUUCUUUUGAAGUGAUAAACGAAUAGUUGACUUGUGUUCAUCUAACGAUGUUUAUUAUACUUCACCCCCUAAUUUGUCCGACUCAGGUAACCAGGUCUUUUCUAAACCACUCUUAAUUAGCUAGCGUAGAGAGAAAAACACCAAAUCUCAAUUUCUAUCACAUUUUGAACUAAGUCGAACCAACACCCAAGGCGUGUUGGGCCCAUUAGAGGCCCUCCUUGUGUCUAUUUGGCCUAUUGAUCAAUAAAAGACAAAUCAAAAUUAUGUGUUUAAAUUUGAAGGAUGUAUAAGACAUUUGACAAAUCAUUGUCACUCGGGGUUGGGGAUUUAUUUUAAUGGCUUACUCUUGUUGAAUGAAUAUUUUCACAAGUUAACAUUUCAUCCAAAAGGUGUUGGCAUCCAAAGAUGACAAAUGAUUCAAGAAGUAAGGAAGGGCCUUCUAGAAGGUUUAGUUAGAAUUAAACCCCUACGUAGGAUUGAUUAUUUGUAUUAUCUUUUUCUUCUUUUCCUUAUUUGGUAAUCCUAUUUGAAUCAUUCAUAAAAUUUGUAAUGCAAUGAUAUGUUAUCAAAGGACGUAAUUCAUCUUUCAUAUCGAUAGGUGUACCCUUGGCAUAAAAGGGUCACAUAUUUGUAUAGGACGUGUAUGUAAUAAUUUUUUGUAUGCUAUGUGAUGUAAUUGAGUUGUCUUUAAUUAAAAAUAGUGCUUAAGUGUUAAUUAAUUCUUGGUGUGAUGUUUGCAUUAUCCAUUAUGAACACAAGCUAACACUUUUACCUUUUGAGUUUUUCUUCUCUUUAAGCUAGAGAUUGAUUUAUGUUAGAAUUUGAAAGUCAUUGUUCGUAAGAAAUCGCAAUAGACAAGAGGACUCACAAUAUCUCAUUUUUUGUAUUUCACAAGACAUCAAUAUCGAGUCAAAAAGACUAAUCAGGGGAGUCAUUGACUAUGAAGUCACAUUUCUUUAUUUUAUUUGUUUUUUUAUUAUUCUGGUCUUGCUUUCACACAUUUCUUAUAUUUUAGUAGGAAAACCAUCCUUGAAAAUAGUUGGGGAUGGUCAUAACAAUGCAUUUCGUGAAUAAUUGGGAGAAGAAACAAUUCCAAGGGACAUUUAGAAAAGAAUACAACAACAAGUGGUUAAUGCGAGAAAAAGAAAAAGAAAAAAAACACAUUCAAUAGAUAGUACAAAGGUUCACAGUUAAGAGGAUACAAAGAAAUGUUUUGAGUUUGUCUAAAUUUUAAAAUUAUAUGAUGUCACAUAUGCAGGAACUAUGCAUACCUGAUUUUAAUCUUUUUUGAGAUACGUAGGCAACCCUACUUGGGUUCGGUAUUCAAUAUUUCAAGUUAAAAAAAAUUGUGCAUAUAUUCAAAGAGAUAUCUGAACGAACUACGCGAACCUGAUUCUCAUUUCUGUGAGAUACGUAGACAUUCCUACUUGGGUUCGGUAUUCAAUAUUUCAAGUUAAAAAAAUUGUGCAUAUAUUCAAAGAGAUAUCUGAAUGAACUACGCGAACCUGAUGCUCAUUUCUGUGAGAUACGUAGGCAUCCCUUCUUGGGUUUGGUAUUAUUUUUUCCAAAGUAAAAAAAAUAAUAAAAUAGUUUGUGCAUAUUUUUAUAGGCAUUAUGGAGAGGAUUGACUUUAUGGUAAAACGUAGAUGCUUGAAAUUUCUUUUGCAUGCAUUCAAGAUAAGAAUAAAACCAACCUUAUGUUUUUAUGGAGAGGAUUGACUUUAUGGUAAACCGUAGAUGCUUGAAAUUUCUUUUGCAUGCAUUCAAGAUAAGAAUAAAAUCAACCUUAUGUUUCAUGUGCAUUGUGUGGUGCGAAUUUAGAGCAAAAUUCAAUUGUAUCGCAAUGUUGAUCUAAAACAUGGCAUGAAUCUCAUCGAGGCGAAAUCCUGAGUAGUCUUUAGUUUGAAAAAGGAUUUUAGGCCUUUUUUGACCCGUUAUGCCUUUCAAAGCCUACCAAAUGACAUAAAUCCCUAGUUUUUCCACUUUGAGCCUGAAACCUUUCAUUGAACAACCAGAUUUUAGCCAUUACCUCUUUGAGUUUUUACAUGCACUAUCCUUCACUUGGCCCAGCCUUCUUGAGUGCACCAAGAAUCUGCAAGUUAUAAGAGAACAUCCAUGUUUGAAUUUCCAAAAGCAAAGAUAUCGAUUCUCCAAAAGUCAAGGAAAUAAAAAAGACUUCUAGAGAAAGAAAGAAAGAAAGAAAGAAAGAAAGAAAGAAAAAAGGUGAAAGAAAUAAAGAAAGAUAAAAAUACCCCUACAAGGUCAAUAAAAAAAAUACUCCAAUAAAAGAGGAGAAAAAUUCAAAGAAAAGAGUGAAAUAAAAGAAA